AAAUAUGGCAUGCAUUCAUUUUGAAAUUGUUUCUAUAGGAUGUGAAGCAAAGCAAAACACACAUGUAAUGCACACAAAGCAAGCUAAAGCCAUCACAUGAGUCAGAAGGUAAAAUUCUCAAGGUGAUAAUCCAUCAGGUAAGGUACAACCAACCAACAAACCAAUUUAUCCAAACCCCCAAAUCUCUCCUCAUUUCUCAUCAAAAUUCGACAACCAGACCAACUCUUUCUUACAAACGCGCCACCCCACCAAUGAACGGAUCAAAAUUUCAACCACCCCCAACCCAACAGACAACAUCACACCUAUCGCCACAAAAUUCCAUUCCGCAGUUCCUGAGACGGCCAGGCAUGUACAUCGAAAACAACAGCGCUUGCUCCUCGACAUGGCGGCUCAGCUGAACGCCCUACUAAAAGUACAAAACGGAAAAUAAAAUCCGGAAGAGAACAACCGCUUCCCCUGUUCCAGCUUCUCCAUAUCUAUCUUCACCACAGGAUCAAACAUUUCCGGUUGUUUCUGCUAUCUUUCUUGUAUGCUCCCCCUCUUUUAGAUUUGAAGUAAUUAUAUCAUCAUCUUUUUCGCCAUGCUUCAUCAUCUUAUUAUGUACAGUUACCAGCAGAGCCUCAAAUGACAAACAUGUCCGAUGAGCAUAUCUCCAUUUUAAGCAAAGGGCGGCUUCGGCAUCCAUGCUAAGAUUCAGGCAAUGGAACGGCCUUGUACAGGUUCAAGGUUCCAUGGAAUACGGUGAGGUGUCCCCCGUUAAGAUAAGCUUCCAUCUGCACAACCAGUCGUUUCGAUUAGAUUUACUCCCUCCAUCAUCUCAACAAAACAAAAUAGCAGACUGCAAAACAAACAGCAACAAACCUGAUCCUGAGGGAUUUUAGAGAAGCCAAACUUCUUCAUCCAGAUGGCUUCGGCUUCAUGGGCAGCUGGAAGCAUGAAGUGCUUCACCUUCAGCGAAACUAGCAGCCUUUCGAUGCAUGAGAACAACACUUGGAAGUAGCCCUGUUUUUAUUAGCACAAAAAAAUCAUUAGAAAGUAAAAAAAGAUAUGGAAUCAAUAAAACAUACCUAGAUGUGAAUAGAACACACAGGUUAACUCUUUAGAACUGCAUUUUUUUGACUGCAUGGAUGAUAUAAUGCUAAGCAGCAACCGUGAACUCACCAGUCCUUGAAGAUCCAUGCUUGUAGCAACCAGUGGCAGUUCGGCCACGUCACCUCCCAUGACACGCAAGAGUGCUGCCGACACGACAGUAGAACUGCGAUAGGCAAGCAGAAUUCAGUAACACUGCAUGCAAAAGUAUGGCCAAUUUUUUGUUUCAAAUCAAAUGAUAAAGAAUUCUUACCCUACAGUUAAGACCGCACAGUACAUUCCACUGUAAUCUUGGCCUGGCAUUCCUUCUUUAGGUCUCCUCCUGGAAGAAAAGAGAAAUCCCAUUUAGCACGGUUCUACUCUAGGUGUUGAACAAAAUAUUGGGAAACGGUUAUCUUCUCUUACCCGUGGACCAUCUCAGGAAUUAGAUCCCUACCGGUAUGGGCUUCGAUGAUUGGAUCAAAAGAUUGCUGCAAGGAGAAAACAACCAGGCAAGUGAACCAGUUAGCAUACAACAUUGAUAAAACAGUGGUAAAGAGGCAAAACAAAAUGCAGCAUACAAUACAAGAUUUAAAAAAAUGCAGCGCAUACAUGAAUAACUGGGACAGCAGAAGAAAGCAAUGAGUUGCCAGCUUCAGUGGCACUUCUACCAGCAACCAAUUGCCAUCUGAUCUCUGUAUUGACAUCCAUAAUCAAACCUUUUGACUCGUGUUUCUUUCUUAUGAUAUCAAGAUCUGACUCCGACAAAGGCUGAGCUCCUUCAGAAAUCAUCUUGUCCAAAGAGGAGCGUAUCUCAGAGCAACUAUCACAACAGAACCACUCCCCUUCUGGUAAUUCCUGCAGAGCAUAAACAAGCUAACUGUGUUAUCUUCCACCAAAGAUGUUCGUUUCAUGUGAAUAUAUCAUGCACAUAGAAACUUAAAUGUGGAGAUGGAGUUUUUAAGUGCUAACCUUCAGGUCGACCUGCCAUUCACUCCUCAAACAUCCUACAUGGUAUUCUUUCUCGCACUGAACAGCACAGAAAAAAGAUGGAAGAAAAAUGUGUCUUAAUAUCAGGAUCAUAAGUUGAAUUUAAGCAGUAACGAUCAAGAUGCAAUUUCUAGAAAUGCAGAAGGCGUACUUGAUCGCAGAGUAUCACAGUGCGCUCAUCAAAUACUGAAUUGUUAAAAUCCUUUUUCCUGCACCAAGAAGAUUUGCCAGAAAGAUUAUUACAAGAAUACAAAGUAGUCAGAAAAUAAGGAAAGAAAGAAAGUGACAGCACAGCUAGCAACAUUUUAGGACAAAUAGUACUCACUUGCACAAGGCGCAUCCUCCAAGGUCAUCACAGAUUGGGACGAUUCUAAUAGCCCUCUUCAAAAUCUGCUCAAUAGAAUCGACUCCGGCCUGCCUCCCAGCAGCCUUGGCAUUCUUAUUUGCUGCUAAAGCCUUUUCUUUCUGAACGAGGAUGGUGCAGUUAUCACAAAACCACUCCCCCAAGGGAACUCCAGGCAGCCCAACGCAAGCUACAGAUUGUAAGUAAGCAGAUCCAUAUUAGAUUGGUUGAGAUGAUCAUUUACGAGAGAAUAACUGAAAAAUACCACUCUUGGCGCAUUAUUGACCGUUAGUUUUAGGAAGAUGGAAGGCUCUACCUGGGUGAAAUGACCUUGGACACAUUUUGCAAGGGAAAAUAUCCCCUCCUAGACCACAUUCUCUGCACAGAUCAUCGGUUUCACGUUCCGACAAUUGCAUGUCUUUUGAUAUACUCAUCGACAGCUCAUGCAGGGAUACCCCAUUUGACGUAUAGAUGUUGUCAUACCUGAUAGCAACGUGAUAAAUAAGAGCAAGCAGACAAGUGCAGGUUGGUAUAAGCUAAAAAGAGGAUGCAGCCGACUUACGGUUUGCGUCUUGAUCCCUCACCCGCAUGAGCUUCGAACGCUGAGGGGCUGACCUGGAUAUUCCUCAUAAAAGGUCAAUCCACAGGGACAAAAAUGGAUACACAGUAAAAAAUAGCUUUGACGAGAAGGGGGACGCACCACUUUGUUGCAAUGGUUACAGUAGAUUCUUUGAUCCUUGAUGUAUCCAUCGAUUAUUUUCUACACAGUGCAAGUGCAAAUUAUCAACAAAAAAACACAGGGAGUGGUUAAAGAAAAUAAGGAAAUAAUAGAUCUUGCUCCAAACCUUCCCAUCAACAAAGUAGGUUACUUCAGUACCGUCAAGCAAAACCUUGAAUACCAGUUUGUGUAGCCCCGUAUCCCUGAAAAUUUGUCAAGCAGGGACCAAUGAGUUAAGUGCUCAAUAGUGAGAAACUAAAAGGGAUAACUAACAGAACUAGAAGUACCGACUUUGUUGUUACUUUUCCAGUACUCGCGCCUUUGCUUGCCGACAUCCUCUUCAACAAAGAUUCCUUGGAACUUGGAGUCAGACUAUGGCACCCCAAAACAGAACAUGGAAAUCAACAGUGUUGUCAGAUAGCGGUACGGACAACUUAAUUUUCUGAUAACAACAGCAGGGCGUAAAGUAAUAGCUCCUGAACAAAUUAUGCAGCCAUUACAGUUUAUUUCCUUAUGAUAGAACAGUGUAAAUAAUAGCUCUUGGUCUCUAGUUAAUUAGACAUAAGAGCACAUCUAGCACAUCAUUAUGCUUAUUAAAUUGCACACCUGGAACUGCUCUUGCUGCAUGCCAACGGGGAAGUAGGAUCUUGAGGUUGGUUUGACUCUGGGCAACAGUGAUCGCACAGAAACUGUUCUUCAGUUUGUGAAGGUAGCUGACCUGCAACAUCAGGAGACAUAAGCAAAGGCAACAAAGGAAACUACUACAACUCCCUGAUGAAUUACAUAAGCAUGAAAGUCUCACCGUUGCAGUUCAGACAAUUCGUGCGGGUCCUUGUAAGCAUGGGAUCAAUGCAGGACUGGAUUGUUUUAUCUAGAGAAUCCAAAGGAGAACUUUCACAGGCACGCAGCACAUCCCGCAAGCUAUUACCAUUUGCUAAGUAGAUGUACUCUGCAGGGUGUUUUUUGCUGCUUCCAGCAUGUAGUUCGAAGAAAUAUGUAGUAAUAGCCUGUAAAAUUCAGAAGGAGAACAACAUUAUGUAAACAUUUUUGUGUCCUGCAACGGCUUACAGAUACAGUAGUUAGCACUAACCUAUUUUUCCUUUUUGAAGGGAAGGAAUACUAACCUUGGAGCCAUCACACUUAGCACAAAAGCAACGUAUAUUGCAACCUGCAAUCACACCUUUCAGCACAGGCUUCUGCAACUUGCAAACAACAUUCAUAUUAAUUGCACUGCAUUAAAAUUCCAUGCUCUAAAAAAGAAGGGUAAUAUUUAUAUAUUACACGAGGCAUCUUGAGCAGCAAGAUAUGGGGUUCAUUGCUACUCAUCAUAAUAUAACAUGGCAUAGCUACAAGUGUUGCAUUGAAAACUGAGGCAAAUAAGAUGAGACUGUUGGUCUCCAACAAGUUAUCACACAUUUGAUUGUAACUAGUACCUGGAAGUUCUCAAAUAACAGAAAGUAUCAUCAAAGCUACUGGCAUUCUGUCACAGAUGGAUUCACUAUUGUCAAGGUCUAGCAAAUGACUUAACACGGCAAAAGCAAACACAUGUAUGUAUUGACUGAACAGAAAAACUUCCUGAAUACUGAUUACUCGGCUAACCUAUAAUAUAUCAUGAAGCUUGAAUAAAAUACCGGUGCGGUGAUAGGCUCGUGCAAUCCCCAAAUGGAGUAAAGUGGUGCUGACAGACAAGAAACUGCUGAUAAAACUUAUGACUGAUUGUCUCAUACCUUGCUAUUAGGGAUGAUGUACAUAACCGGCAUUCCCUCGAGCAGUCCUGUGCUGAGCAAAUCUCUGGUGUUGCCUGGGUGCUUUGAGAGGCAGGCAACUUUCUUGGACAUCUUCAUCUCCAUCUUGGUCACCGAUGGAGGGGUCUCUGGUGUGCUCUCAACGGGCUCUUCAGGCACAACCGGAAUGCUGGCAGGAGGCGCCUCAACCUUUGGCUUGAGCAGUGACCUUGUGAACCUCCUCCCUGGUGUUGCAGACAAAUCAAGCGAGGCAUCUCCUAUAAUUUCACUAGCUGCGGUCUCUCUGUCCAGUCCAAGCAGCGACCGUGUGAAGCGUCUUUUAGGCUUGAUGAUCUUGGCAGUGGAAUCUGGUGUGGCGGCAUCCUCAGCGUCCACGGCAGUGGAAGCAGGUAUGGUGGCAUCCUCGGCGGCCACAGGAGGAUCAGCCAACGCAUUGUCCAGCACACUGGGUUCAUUUGAUCCAGCAGUGGACUCGAGCAAAGCCGAAGGUGCAUCCAAUUCCAUGCUAGCGCCCUCUUCAGCGUCCGGCAUUGCAUGCGCAGCAGCAGCGCUGGGCUCGACUCCUGUGGCCUGUGUAGCCGCCUCGCCGGCAGAUUCAGACUCUGUUACAGGAGCAGGGAGUCCAUCCAUUUGGUGCUGAGGGGGGACGGCAGCAUUGGACCCAUCCCGUUCCUCUUCCUUCUUCUUCUCCAUUGGCGCCCGGAAUGAGCAGGGGCCCAUGAGGUCUGCGUCGCCUUGAGCAUUGAGCUGCGCCUCAGCGUCCACCAUGACGACGUCGUCAGAGUGGCUGGCCUUUGGUGACGCCUCGGCGGCAGCAUCUUGGUUGGCCACCGCAUGCGCCUUGGCAGCCAAGGACGGCGCCUCGGGAGCGUUGUGGUUGACCUCGGGCAGCAUCUCGGCAGCCAAGGGCGGCACCUCGGGAGCGUUGUGGCUGACCUUGGGCAGCAUCUCGGCAGCCAAGGGCGGCGCCUCGGUAGCGUUGUGGCUGACCUCGGGCAGCACCUCAGCAGCCAAGGGCGGCAUCUCGGCAGCGUCGUGGCUGACUUCGGGCAGCACCUCGGCAGCGUUGUGGCUGACCUCGGGCAGCAUCUCGGCAGCGUCGUGGCUGACCUUGGGCAGCAGCUCUGCAUCCAGGGGAGCAUCUUGGGUGGCUGCCUCGCGCGGCGCCGGGAGAGCAUCUUGGCUGGCUACGAGGGGGUCCAAGGGUAACCCAUCGGCGGCGUGGUGAGUGGCAGCGAAAAGCGGCAGCACCUCCGCAUCUUCGGGCGGCAGGAGGGCAGCAUCGAGGGGGGCGGCGUGGUGGGGGGCGGGCUUGGGCGCCUCGGCGUCGAGGGGCGGGGUGGGCGGGGAGACCAGAUCCGGGGGCGGGGUGGGCGGGGGGUCGGAUCUGGCGGCGGCCUUCCGGCGCUUGGCCGGCGAGGAGGGGAGGGAGGGGCAGGCGAGAAGGGAGCGGCCGGAGCGGGUGCGGCCGGGGGACGCCGUGAUCUCCGACAACGACUGCAGCGCGAAGGCCAGCUCCCGCUUCAUGGCCCGCGGCGCCGCCGGGGACGACGCGCCCCCGCCGCCUCCUCCGCCGUCGCCGCCGCCCGUGGAGGCGGCGGUCAUGGGGGGCCGACCGGCGGCGGGAUCGGGCGGCCGGGGACGGAUGGAUCCGCUAGGGUUUGGAUGGAUCGGGGUGGAGUCGGAGACGGAGCGAGGAAGGAGAGGAGCGCCCGUCUCGUUUGUUUAUUCUUUUUCCUUCCUCUGCUCCGUCCAAAAGACCAAAAUACCCCUCCCCUCGCCUCCUUCCUUCAUGCCCAAGGCCUCCCAUCUUUAUCCUAAUCUUCCAUUUAAUGCCAUGCAAUUUUCUAGUGUUUCCUGCCACAAAUUGCUUUUCAAAAGGAUAUAUAUGACCUAAUUUUUGUGCUAUGUUAUAUGGUUGGUAUGGCAUUGUGUUUUUUCGGUCUGUAUCUAUAUCUGGCCGAGAACACGGCCAGAGGGAGAAAACGCGUGUGCGGUCCUUUUCGGCAUCCGGGGGGAGCGUGGCUCGUAAAUGCGCCAGCUCAGAGGUGUCGUCGCUGCUGUCAUGCCUAUCUUGCUUCUGUCUCCACGCGGUCCGUGUCGUGUCAUCCAGCUCAGUAGAACUUUGUCCCUGCGCGGUAUGUGACGUCUCGGGUUCGACUUCUGGAUCUUUUUAUUUUCAUGUUUUGCAUUUUUGUAUUCUGAAAAAAAAAUACAGAGCUGAAUGAACGGACACUCGAACCGGAGACCUCUCUCGAAAUAUCGAGAAGGGGACUAGGUUGCUACCAACACACUAGAACCAACUCCUGUAAAAAUACUUAAGACCCUACCUACUUUACUCGGUCCGGGGCCGAUCGGCGGCUGGAUCGGGCAGUCGGGGAGUAUUUUUGCUCGGUAUGGGCCCCGGGCGCCCGAUCCAGCCACCGAUCGGGCGUUUGAAUUCAAAAUUUUCAAAAGAAGGUAUUUUUGCUCGGUAUGGGGAUUUACCAGGGGUGUCGAAAUACUCGGUAACCACGGGAAAAUCUUGAAAUUUUGUUAGGUGAAAAGAACCUUGGGGGGUGGUGUUUCUUCGUCUUGGCGAAAAGGAAAGACCAAUGGGUUGGUCUAGGGUCUCUUUGGUCAAGAACACAAUCAUGGUGAAAACGUGUUUGUGGUUUUUUAUCUUUUCAUUUGGGUAAUAUUGAUGUCUUGCAAAUGCAACAAGCUCAGAGAGAUCGACGAUGCAAUGUAUCCCUUGUUUCUUUCUUUUUCAAUGGUUCUAGAGUAGGCAUGUCAGACGAAACCAACUAAGGCGACAAUAGAUGCGGGGUUUGGACUCUUUGUAUACAGCCAAACACACAGUCGUGGUGAAAACGUGUGUGUGGUCUCUUAUGGUUUCGGCAUUGGUGGGGCUCGGGGGUCAUAAAUGCGGCCAGCUCAAAAAUAUCGUUGGUAUCGUGUUUAUGGUGUUUCUUUCUUUUGCAUUGGUUCGAGGAAAUGUAACUUUGAGAGGUCCACCUAAGACUGUAAAAGAAAGACCAUUGAUGUCCAAACGAAAUGAUGUCUGUAGACCCCGAGGAGAACCGAGUGAACCGGUACGUUGCCCCGAGGUCACUUGGCGGUGGCAUAUCGGGUAAUUAUGUCCAACUCGGCCUCCUAUAAUUUUGGAAGCGCGGUCCGACCUGCUUCUCAUUUUUGCAAUGCGAGGAUAGUCUGCUCCGCGAAGCUCUUAUAUUUGUUUACAGAGGAAGAGGAAGUAUUGUUUUGUUUACGGGGCUCGGGGAGUUGACAUGAGGGGGGAGCGUAGUUUUAUAUGGAUGGGGUGGAGGGAGGGAGGGGCAAUAUGGGGAGAGUGGGGUGAUGUUUGUGUUGCAGCCUUGCAGGAGGGGGUUCAAAAUAGGCAACAAAGGUGCACGUCACCACGCUCGUAUAACUUCCUCCCUUCCACUACUAACGGUCUCUCGCUUCGCUUCCCGCGCGCGCACAUGCCAUGCAUGCACACACGUACAGCACGUACGUAGGCCACUCCACAUACGUGUUGCAUUGCAUGCAUGAGCGAGUGAGUGAGGAUUUAGUGCAAGAUUUGGCCGCACGCCACAUGCAUGCUGCUCGAUUCGAACGGUGCCAAAUCGCGGGGAACCAUGCACCGAUGCACCUACACAAGUUGCCAACGUACGAGCAGUCUUCUCCUUCUUCUUCUCGUCUCUGCUAUACUCCCUCCGUUCCUGAAUAUAAGUCCUUUUAAAGAUUCCAAUUAAUAUGGACCACAUAUAGAGCAAAAUGAGUGAAUCUACGCUCUAAACUACUCCCUCCGUUCCUAAAUAUAAGUCUUUGUAGAGAUUUCACUAUGAACUAGAUACGGAUGUAUAUAGAUGCAUUUUAAGUGUGGAUUCAUUCAUUUUACUUCGUAUGUAGUCCACCUAGUGGAAUCUCUACAAAGACUUACAUUUAGGAACGGAGGGAGUAUUUUUUAUUGCCAAAGGAACUCAUCACAUGGUAUUACACCCGAUCAAGAGUUUCUUCUUUGCACCAUACCAUGUGUUUCAGUUUUGAUUUGGUGGGUUUUAUCCACGCCUGUAGAAUCCGGCACCAGUGCGAACUCGUGUGUCUUCGAUCUUCUAGACGAGCAAUGCUGCCGGUACGCGAAAUCGAUGUCCAUGAAAACAAAUGGACAAAACCGCGACAACCCGUUUUCCAUCGUCUUUGUUUAUUCCUUUUUUCCUUUCACAAACUGGGUUGCCCAUGUAGGAGUUUUCGAUGACCGCCCCCGUAGGGGGAAGGACGGGGUACAGAUCAGUGAGUGAAAAGUUGGGAACGGGGUUCAACUCACUACAUAUCUAUGGAUUAACCCAUGUCCAAAUCCCUAGAGGUCGGCAAGCCGAAACAUUAGUUCAAAACCAAAUCAACAAACACAACAUUGCCUGACUCUAGUGGCUCUCGCGUACGUGAGAGGCUCUAAGCAACUAUCACCGCCAUUGCCCUCAAGAGGGCUAUAAGUCACCCCAUAAUUCAUCGCGCCAACCUUUUAUGGCAUCACAAAUGCCUCGCAUAUCGAAAGACCUGACAGUGGUUCAAGGGGGUCACACACGGAACAUAGUUUCCAAAGGGGGUUUAAUCACCUUUCGACUGAAAGUACUCUCUAUCAUGACACUUCCAAAUGCCCCCAAACGGUCGUAAGGCUCGCUGAAUAAAAUCGUCCACACCUUUUUCAAACAAUUAUGCAUCCGAAGCAAAAAUAUUGCCAAAUAGACAUGGGAUCAAACCGUUUCUCCUUCUCCCUAGCAUGCUUGCCAAAGAAACUCAUCACAUAGUAUUACACCCGAUCAAGAGUUUUGUUUUUUACUUCUUUGCUUUUAUCAGGCUCGAAGACACCGGGCAACCGCGCCAGGAGAAGCCAACACUAGGGUGAAGACAUGCGUAUAGUUUUUCAAUAUUUCCAUUAUGGCAAUUUGUUGGUGAACCGUGAAUGCAACCAACUAAAAGGAAGCGCCACUGCCAGUAGGUCAUCCUUGGUCGUGUUCGGCGCAUUAAUGGGGCAACAAUCCCCGUCGAACAUCUACCCAAAAUAGCGAUGUGUCGACACUCUUAGCCAGGCCACACCUGGUGCGAAACGGAAUGGCAAGUCGAUCGCGGUUGGAUUUUCCAACGCCCGUAUAUCAUAUAAAAAGGAAAUUUUCGACGAACCGACACUAGGGGGGGGGGAGGGGCUUUAGUCCCCAUCCUUUAGUGCCGGUUGCAGACCCGGCACUAAAGGUCCUUACAAAUCGGGACUAAAGCAUGAUUCUGCACUAGUGAAACUCACACAUACACAUAAGCUAUGCUCAUGUCUCGGACCUGGCCCAAAAAUGCUGGAUACGCCACCUGCACUAGGGCGUUCUUGGUCGGAUUAGCUCCCACGUGAAGGGGGCGAGGACUUAGGUUGAACCGUUGAUUGAAAGCAGCCGCGUGGACGGGUUGAGGUCGUCCGAUGCGAAACGAAACGAUGACUCUGGACCUCGGGGUGGGGUGUUUAAAGAUUUGGCUCGAUUGGGAGGGGGAGCUGAACACCGGUGGCCACGCUACUAAAACUAAUUUCGAAAUGUGUUGAAAAAACUAAUAAUCCAAAUGGGACACAAGUGGUGUUAAUUAGCUAGAGGGGACGAAGGAGCAUGGUUAGUACCUCCUCCUCCUCCUCUCCGGCAUUGUUGUCAAAUGAGCUAGCCACAUGGUGUUACAUCCGGUCAAUAGGUUCCUAGCUACUCCCUUGCAUUAUAUCACGUGUUUUUGUUUUGGUUAUGGGUUUCACCAGGCUCGCUCGACGAAACCGGGCAUCCGCGCCUAGAGAAGCUGGCACUGGAGUGAGCUCGUGUGUCUUCCAUCUUUGGAUGAGCAAUGCUGCCGGUACGCGAAAUCGAUGUCCGUAAAAAUCAAUGGUCAAAACCGGCAACCUGUUUUCCAUCGUCUUUGUUUAUUUCCCUUUUUCUUCACAGACUGGAUUGCCCCAUGUAGGAUUUUUCGAUGACUGCCUCCCAAGGGGAACAACAUGGUACGAAACAGCGAGUGAAAAGUUGGGAACGGGGUUCAACUCACUGCAUAUGGAUAAACCCAUGUCCAAACCCCUAGAGGCUGGCAAGCCACAACCUUGGUAGAAAACCAAAUCAACAAACAUAACAUUGCCCGACUCUAGUGGCUCUCACGUAUGUGAGAGGCUCUAAGCAACUAUCGCCGCCAUCACCCUCAAGAGAGCUAUAAGUCACCACAUAAUUCAUUGUGCCAACCUUUUAUGGCAUCACAAACGUCUCGCAUACCGAAAGACCCGACAGUGGUUCAAGGUGGGUCACGCAUUAAACACGGUAUCCAAAGGGGGUUUAAUCACCUUCCGACUCAAAGUGCUCACUAUCAUGACACUAAACCUUUCAGAAAGCACAAAAGUAAUUAAUGUUGGUUGGGAUUUCUGCUCUGUUUUGGUCCAUUUCAAAAUGCAGAAAUGAUAUUGUGUUUAGAUCCAAGAAUUUUCAUGAUCCCAUGAUCAUUGUCGGAACUUUAUGCAACCGGAUUAUUGAUUGGGUUGUUUUGCAAAGAAAAAACCCAGAGCAAAAGUUGUUGAUGUUGGGAGCAAGACUAAUAAAGCGGGUGGCAAAUGAGAUUUAUCAAGUGUCGCAAGGAUGGAGACCGGGGGUGAGAAGACUGGGUUGCUGAUCGAUGGGACUUCUCUAUUCCUACUUCACCAAUGGCGUCUCAUAUCGCUUGUUGCUUUCCUAUUUUGAACAUGUGGUCUUGAUUUGCUGGGUAAACCUUGAUGUAAUAGGGCCUGGUAGUCAUUUGCCUCUUAUUUUGAGUUUUAAUAUUUUAGUUGAUAACCUAACUAGCAGUGCUGAAACGACUUUGUCAUGCCUCGUUUGGUUUCGUUAAUGAAAUCGGAGGGGCCCCCCCUCUUUUAAUAAAAAAAUAUCCCGUGGCCACACUAGUCAAACCAGUUUCCAAAUGGGGCAUAAAUCAUUGUUGUUCAUCAGAGGGGAGGAAGGAAGGAACAUGGUUUACUUUUUUUUUGCAUAGUAAUACGUGUCUCAUUCAUAUGAUAAAAAUCAAAGUACAAAUCACGUAAGGACCGACAUGACAAAACUGAAAAGAUAGCAAAACAUCUCUGAGUUUGACACCAAAGGUCAUCACCUGCCUAGCCACAGAAGAAUAGAAUGAUGGAUCACCUCCUCACCCGAGCUCGACGCGGCUCCAUCGCUGAUAUGCAGCUUUGUGGACCUCCAAGGUGGCUCGCCAAAAGUGAAGCCACUGCGGUUGAACGAAUCAGACCGGGGCAACACCUCGGACAUGUCAUCGAACUCCAGAUCCGACACCCCACCAUGACUAAGACGUCGAAGGAGGAAACCAUGCCUGCCAUCCAUCAACCACGAACCCAAUACACGCUCCGUCUUCCCGAUAUCGUCAAUGCAGACCACAAUCUGCAUUCGCUCCUGGACUACCUCCAUAACAUGCAUGCACAUAACGGUCUCUCAAUCUUCCCACGCGCGCGCAUAUAUCCACAUGACAUGCAUGCACGCACGUACCAGUACUUACUUACGUAGGUGAGCUCCCACUCCACUCUGCGCUACGUACUCCCGGUCGGAACGUACGAGUUGCAUGCAUGAGCGAGUGAGGAUUUAGUGUGAGAUUUGGCCACAACGUGCUCGAUUCAAACGGUGCCUACGUGCAUGAUGCUCGAUUCAAAAGGUAGCCAAAUCGCCGGUAGCCAUGUGCGCACGCACACAAGUUGCCAACCAGCAGUCUUAACCGCUUCUCCUUCUUGUUCUCGUCUCUCGCAUUUUAUUUGUUUUUUUUUUGCGUGAAAACUCCCGUUCUAUUUAUCUUCAAUCAUGACAGUAAAUUAGCACCACAAAUAAUAAAAAUAACAUCCAGAUCCGUAGACCACCUAGCGAUGACUAUGAGGACUGAAGCGAGCCGAAGGUGCGCCGCCGUCAUCGCCCCUCCCUCUCUGGAGCCGGGCAAAAUUUGUUGUAGUAGACAGUCGGAAAGUCUCUUGCAUUAUUUAUUGCCAAAGGAACUCAUCACAUAGUAUCACACCCGUUCAAGAUCUUUUUUUUACUUCUUUGCAUUAUACCAUGUGUUUUGGGUUUGAUUUGGUGGGUUCUAUCGGGCUCGACAACACCAGGCAUCCGCGCCAGGAGAAGCCAGCACCGGGGUGAGCUCGUGUGUCUUCGGUCUUCAGACGAGCAAUGCUGCUGGUACGCGAAAUCGAUGUCCCUAAAAAUCAAUGGACAAAACCGACAACCUGUUUUCCGUCGUAUGCACCAACCUUUUAUGGUAUCACAAAUGCCUUGCAUACCGAAAGACCCGAUAGUGCAAGGGGGGUCACACAUGAAACACCGUAUCCAAAAGGGGUUUAAUCACCUUACGAAUGAAAGUGCUCACUGUCAUGACACUUCAAAACGCGCCCCAAACUGUCAUAAGUAAAAAUCAACCACAUCCUUUUUCAAAGAAUUAUGCAUCCGAAUCAAAAAUAUUGUCAAAUAGACGCGGGAUCAAAUAGGUAAACCNNNNNNNNNNNNNNNNNNNNNNNNNNNNNNNNNNNNNNNNNNNNNNNNNNNNNNNNNNNNNNNNNNNNNNNNNNNNNNNNNNNNNNNNNNNNNNNNNNNNNNNNNNNNNNNNNNNNNNNNNNNNNNNNNNNNNNNNNNNNNNNNNNNNNNNNNNNNNNNNNNNNNNNNNNNNNNNNNNNNNNNNNNNNNNNNNNNNNNNNNNNNNNNAUGUAUCACCCAGGAAACAAAUGAGAUGGAAACUCAUCCACAUGGCAAAAUAAACAUUUAUCUUUCCCCAUCCGUUGACGCUUUAUCAUAUUAUGUGUUAGGCAUGGCUCUAAAACAACAACCACAUAUAAAAUUUGUAUCUUCUUAGACAUCUUACCUUUUUGUUGUCAUUUUGUCAAAAAUAAGAAUAUUGUACUAGUUAUUAUGGGAUGGUGUAUGCUUCUUCGUCUUUAAUGUAGCAUGCAUGUUACUUCAUUUUUGAAAGUAAAAGAUGGAUGCUUGUUACAUUUAUGAAUAAAGUGAUGAAACGAUAGAUGAUUACCAAAGUAAACACCUAGAUGAUUACCAAAGUAGACAUUUUCCAUGUUACUUCUUCGUAUUUAAUGUAGCAUGCAUGAAGCGUAACUACUUAUAUUGAACUCACAUCAGAGACUAUGAGGAGGGACAAUGGGAUCGAUCAUGGAGGAGGAAGAAGAAAGAAAACUAGGAAAAUAUGUGUGACUAGCCUUGGCAAUGACAUGGCCAGGGAGGCCAACAUGACUCCCGAUUGGUAAUGAGUGGCACAAUGAGCUUAGAAGAAUGCACAAUGGUUGUAGUGGCACCACAUAUUGACACAAUUGACAACUGCAAUGCACCAUGGUGAGUUUCAUUUGAAUGGUCAUUAGUUACUAGUCGUAACAUUUGAGUGUCAUCAUGCUAACGAGACAUUGCAAAUGAUCUUUGGUGCAGCGUAACUCCAGACAAGCAUCGCACGAUCCUUCUCCAGGUGGUACCGGCACGAGCAACCCCGGUGCUUCACCUCCGUGAUGACGGUAAGUUUUCUCUAGUGUUUUGCUUAAGAAAUGCAUAAUGACCUAGACUUAGCUUUACUUCCUCCAAUAUGCUUACCAUAAUGACCUAAGUCUAAUAUGCUAAGUUAGCUCUGAAGGAAAUAUGCCCUAGAGGCAAUAAUAAAGUUGUUAUUUAUACUUCCUUAUAUCAUGAUAAAUGUUUAUUAUUCAUGCUACAAUUGUAUUAACCGGAAACUUAGUACAUGUGUGAAUACAUAGACAAACAGAGUGUCACUAGUAUGCCUCUACUUGACUAGCUCGUUGAAUCAAAGAUGGUUAUGUUUCCUAGCCAUAGACAUGAGUUGUCAUUUGAUUAACGUCAUCACAUCAUUGGAGAUGAUGUGAUUGACUUGACCCAUUUCGUUAGCUUAGCAUUUGAUCUUUUAGUAUGUUGCUAUUGCUUUCUUCAUGACUUAUACAUGUUCCUAUGACUAUGAGAUUAUGCAACUCCCGAAAACCGGAGGAACACUCUGUGUGCUACCAAACGUCACAAUGUAACUGGGUGAUUAUAAAGGUGCUCUAUAGGUGUCUCCGAUGGUACUCGUUGAGUUGGCAUAGAUCAAGAUUAGGAUUUGUCACUCCGAUUGUCGGAGAGGUAUCUCUGGGCCCUCUCGGUGAUGCACAUCACUAUAAGCCUUGCAAGCAAUGUGACUAAAUGAGUUAGUCGCGGGAUGAUGCAUGAUAACCCACAAGUAUAGGGGAUCGCAACAGUUUUCGAGGGUAGAGUAUUCAACCAAAAUUUAUUGAUUCGACACAAGGGGAGCCAAAGACUAUUCUCAAGUAUUAGCAGUUGAGUUAUCAAUUCAACCAUAUGGCGAGACUUGGUCUAUCAUAUGGUGUAAGACAUAUGCACUCUAUCAUACUUUAUUGAGCUUAUGAUAUAUUGUGCUAGUUAUGUUAUGCUCACAUUUACUAUCUUGUUUAGUGUUAGCCUUAUUGUUGCAAGAUAUGCAUUGUUUAUAAAAUAUAGGGGUGUGUUGAUCCUAGUAUAUGUGCCGUGCAGUCCAAAGCACUUAUCUAGAUAGCACGCAUCUAGGGGGAGCUCGUAUAUAUUUUAGAGAUGUGGGGUUUGCUUAUGUUCUAUAUUAUUUCCCUUUGUGCAAAUCCCGUACUGUCAUCAGUCCACCAAAAAGGGGGAGAUUGUAAGGGCAUAUUUAGCCCUAAGGUGUUUUGGUGAUUGAUGACAAUGCUUUUGCGGACUAAUCGUGUGCCUUGAGUAUUUCAGUCGCUUCGUCACUAGGCACAAGACGGUUUGGUACCCCUCGAAGACUAUUGAAGACGGCGGUGUUCUACGUCUCUUUUGGUGGAUUUGAAUCGUAUGAUAGCCGUACUAUUAAGAGGGGGUCCGCGUUGGAAAGGUUUGGGUGGAAUCAUCACGUACACGUUUACUCCCUUUGGACCACCUUUCCCUUUGUGCUUUGGAGCAUCCUCCGUUUUGUUCAUAUUUUGCAAAGAGAAUGAUUCCUAGUGUUGCUGUUCUGAGGCAUGCGGUAGUACUUCUCUUAGGAGCGGUAGUACCACAGUCCGCCGCGGUAGUACCGCAAGCCUUUGCGGUAGUACCGUAGGUGGACACGGUAGUACCGCUCCUUAGGAGGUGUAGUACCGUGGCCUCGGACUAGACUCAGCCGCUCAUGCGGCUGUAGGGUGAUGACCCACAAGUAUAGGGGAUCUAUCAUAGUCCUUUCGAUAAGUAAGAGUGUCGAACCCAACGAGGAGCAGAAGGAAAUGACAAGCGGUUUUCAGUAAGGUAUUCUCUGCAAGCACUGAAAUUGUAGGUAACAAAUAGUUUUGUGAUAAGAUAAUUUGUAACGGGUAACAAGCAAUGAAAGUAAUAAAGUGCAGCAAGGUGGCCCAAUCCUUUUUGUAGCAAAGGACAAGCCUGGACAAUUUCUUAUAAUGAGAAAAGCGCUCCCGAGGACACAUGGGAAUUAUCGUCAAGCUAGUUUUCAUCACGCUCAUAUGAUUCGCGUUCGGUGCUUUGAUAAUUUGAUAUGUGGGUGGACUGGUGCUUGGGUACUGCCCUUAUUUGGACAAGCAUCCCACUUAUGAUUAACCCCUAUUGUAAGUAUCUGCAACUACAAAAGAAGUAUUAAUGUAAACCUAACCAUAGCAUGAAACUAGUGGAUCCAAAUCAGCCCCUUACGAAGCAACGCAUAAACUAGGGUUUAAGCUUCUGUCACUCUAGCAACCAAUCAUCUACUUAUUACUUCCCAAUGCCUUCCUCUAGGCCCAAAUAAUGGUGAAGUGUCAUGUAGUCGACGUUCACAUAACACCACUAGAGGAGAGACUGAAGGAAAUAUGCCCUAGAGGCAAUAAUAAAGUUAUUAUUUAUUUCCUUAUAUCAUGAUAAAUGUUUAUUAUUCAUGCUAGAAUUGUAUUAACCGAAAACAUAAUACAUGUGUGAAUACAUAGACAAACAGAGUGUCACUAGUAUGCCUCUACUUGACUAGCUCGUGAAUCAAAGAUGGUUAAGUUUCCUAACCAUAGACAUGAGUUGUCAUUUGAUUAACGGGAUCACAUCAUUAGGAGAAUGAUGUGAUUGACUUGACCCAUUCCGUUAGCAUAGCACCCGAUCGUUUAGUGUAUUGCUAUUGCUUUCUUCAUGACUUAUACAUGUUCCUAUGACUAUGAGAUUAUGCAACUCCCGUUUAUCGGAGGAACACUUUGUGUGCUACCAAACGUCACAACGUAACUGGGUGAUUAUAAAGGAGCUCUACAGGUGUCUCCGAAGGUACAUGUUGGGUUGGCGUAUUUCGAGAUUAGGAUUUGUCACUCCGAUUUGUCGGAGAGGUAUCUCUGGGCCCUCUCGGUAAUGCACAUCACUAUAAGCCUUGCAAGCAAUGUAGCUAAUGAGUUAGUUACGGAAUGAUGCAUUAAGUAACGAGUAAAGAGACUUGCCGGUAACAAGAUUGAACUAGGUAUUGGAUACCGACGAUCGAAUCUCGGGCAAGUAACAUACCGAUGACAAAGGGAACAACGUAUGUUAUUAUGCGGUCUGACUGAUAAAGAUCUUCGUAGAAUAUGUGGGAGCCAAUAUGAGCAUCCAGGUUCCACUAUUGGUUAUUGACCGGAGACGUUUCUCGGUCAUGUCUACAUAGUUCUCGAACCCGUAGGGUCCGCACGCUUAAGGUUUCGAUGACAGUUAUAUUAUGAAUUUAUGAGUUUUGAUGUACCGAAGGAGUUCGGAGUCCCAAAUGAGAUCGGGGACAUGACGAGGAGUCACGCAAUGGUCGAGGCAUAAAGAUUGAUAUAUUGGACGACUAUAUUCGGAGUUCGGAAAGGUUCUGAGUGAUUCGGAUAUUUUUCGGAGUACCGGAGAGUUACGGGAAUUCGCCGGGGAGUAUAUGGGCCUUAUUGGGCUUUAGGGGAAAGAGAGAGGAGAGGAUGGGCGCCCCCCCAAGGCCUAGUCCGAAUUGGACUAGGGGGCCUCCUUCCCCCUUGCUCCUUUAUAUACGGGGGCAGGGGGGCACCUCUAGGCAGAACAACAAUUGAUCUCUUGAUCUCUUAGCCGUGUGCGGUGCCCCCCUCCACCAUAGUCCCCCUUGAUAAUAUUAUAGCGGUGCUUAGGCGAAGCCCUGCGACGGUAGAACAUCAAGAUCGUCACCACGCCAUCGUGCUGACGGAACUCUCCCUCGACACUCGGCUAGAUCGGAGUUCGAGGGACGUCAUUGAACUGAACGUGUGCUAGAACUCGGAGGUGCCGUAGUUACGGUGCUUGACCGGUCGGGCCGUGAAGACGUACGACUACAUCAACCGCGUUGUUCUAACGCUUCCGCUUUCGGUCUACGAGGGUACGUGGACACACUCUUCCCUCUCGUUGCUAUGCAUCACCAUGAUCUUGCGUGUGCGUAGGAAUUUUUUUGAAAUUACUACGUUCCCCAACAGUGGCAUACGAGCGUGGUUUUAUGCGUAGAUGUCAUAUGCACGAGUAGAACACAAGUGAGUUGUGGGCGAUAUAAGUCAUACUGCUUACCAGCAUGUCAUACUUUGGUUCGGCGGUAUUGUUGGAUGAAGCGGCCCGGACCGACAUUAUGCGUAUGCUUACGCGAGACUGGUUCUACCGACGUGCUUUGCACACAGGUGACUGGCGGGUGUCAGUUUCUCCAACUUUAGUUGAACCGAGUGUGGCUACGCCCAGUCCUUGCGAAGGUUAAAAAAACACCAACUUGACAAACUAUCGUUGUGGUUUUGAUGCGUAGGUAAGAACGGUUCUUGCUAAGCCCGUAGCAGCCACGUAAAACUUGCAACAACAAAGUAGAAGAUGUCUAACUUGUUUUUGCAGGGCAUGUUGUGAUGUGAUAUGGUCAAGACAUGAUGCUAAAUUUCAUUGUAUGAGAUGAUCAUGUUUUGUAACAGAGUUAUCGGCAACUUGCAGGAGCCAUAUGGUUGUCGCUUUAUUGUAUGCAAUGCAAUCGCCCUGUAAUGCUUUACUUUAUCACUAAGCACUAGUGAUAGUCGUAGAAGCAUAAGAUUGGCGAGACGACAAUGAUGCUACGAUGGAGAUCAAUGUGUCGCGCCAGUGACAAUGGUGAUCAUGACGGUGCUUCGAAGAUGGAGAUCACAAGCACAAGAUGAUGAUGGCCAUAUCAUAUCACUUAUAUUGAUUGCAUGUGAUGUUUAUCUUUUAUGCAUCUUAUCUUGCUUUGAUUGACAGUAGCAUUAUAAGAUGAUCCGUCACUAAAUUAUCAUAGUAAAAGUGUUCUCCCUGAGUAUGCACCAUUGCAAAAGUUCUUCGUGCUGAGACACCACGUGAUGAUCGGGUGUGAUAGGCUCUACGUUCAAAUACAACGGGUGCAAAACAGUUGCACACGCGGAAUACUCAGGUUAAACUUGACGAGCCUAGCAUAUAACAGAUAUGGCCUCGGAACACGGAGACCGAAAGGUCGAGCGUGAAUCAUAUAGUAGAUAUGAUCAACAUACUGAUGUUCACCGUUGAAACUACUCCAUCUCACGUGAUGAUCGGACAUGGUGUACUUGAUAUGGAUCACGUAAUCACUUAGAGGAUUAGAGGGAUGUCUAUCUAAGUGGGAGUUCUUUAGUAAUAUGAUUAAUUGAACUUAAAUUUAUCAUGAACUUAGUCCUGGUAGUAUUUUGCAAAUUAUGUUCUAGAUCAAUAGCUUGUGUUGUUGCUUUCAUAUGUUUAUUUUGAUAUGUUCCUAGAGAAAAUUGUGUUGAAAGAUGUUAGUAGCAAUGAUGCGGAUUGGAUCCGUGAUCUGAGGUUUAUCCUCAUUGCUGUACAGAAGAAUUAUGUCCUUAAUGCACCGCUAGGUGACAGACCUAUUGCAGGAGCAGAUGCAGACGUUAUGAACGUUUGGCUAGCUCAAUAUGAUGACUACUUGAUAGUUUAGUGCAUCAUGCUUAACGGCUUAGAAUCGGGACUUCAAAGACGUUUUGAACGUCAUGGACCAUAUGAGAUGUUCCAGGAGUUGAAGUUAAUAUUUCAAGCAAAUACCCGAGUUGAGAGAUAUGAAGUCUCCAACAAGUUCUAUGGCUAAAAGAUGGAGGAGAAUCGCUCAACUAGUAAGCAUGUGCUCAGAUUGUCUGCGUACUACAAUCGCUUGAAUCAAGUGGGAGUUAAUCUUCCAGAUAAGAUAGUGAUUGACAGAAUUCUCUAGUCACCAUCACCAAGUUAGUAGAACUUUGUGAUGAACUAUAGUAUGCAAGGGAUGACGAAAACGAUUCCCAAGCUCUUCGUGAUGUUGAAAUCGACGAAGGUAGAAAUCAAGAAAGAGCAUCAAGUGUUGAUGGUUGACAAGAUCACUAGUUUCAAGAAAAGGGCAAAGGGAAAGAAAGGGAACUUCAACUAGAAUGACAAGCAAGUUGUCACUCCCACGAAGAAGCCCAUAGCUGAACCAAAACCUGAAACUGAGUGCUUACACUGCAAAGGAAAUGGUCACUGAAAACGGAAAUACCCCGAAUAUUUGGUGGAUAAGAAGGAUGGCAAAACUGAACAAGGGUAUAUUUGAUAUACAGGUUAUUGAUGUGUACCUUACUAGUGUUUAUAGUAACCCCUGAGUAUUUGAUACUUGUUCGGUUGCUAAGAUUAGUAACUCGAAACAGGAGUUACAGAAUAAACAGAAACUAGUUGAGGGUGAAGUGACGAUCUGUGUUGGAAGUGGUUCCAAGAUUGAUAUGAUCAUCAUCGCACACUCCCUAUACUUUCGGGAUUAGUGUUGAACCUAAAUAAAUGUUAUUUGGCAUUUGCGUUGAGCAUGAAUAUGAUUUGAUCAUGUUUAUUGCAAUACAGUUAUUCAUUUAAAAUCAGAGAAUAAUUGUUGUUCUGUUUAAAUGAAUAAAACCUUUGAUGGCCAUACACCCAAUGAAAAUAGUUUGUUGGAUCUCGAUCGUAGUGAUACACAUAUUCAUAAUAUUGAUGCCAAAAGAUGCAAAGUUGAUAAUGAUAGUGCAACUUAUUUGUGGCACUGCCGUUUGGGUCAUAUCGGUGUAAAGCACAUGAAGAAACUCCAUAAAGAUGGAUUUUUGGAAUCUCUUGGUUAUGAAUCAUUUGAUGCUUGCGAACCGUGCCUUUUGGGCAAGAUGACUAAAACUCCAUUCUCCGGAACAAUGGAACGAGCUAGUGACUUAUUGGAAAUAAUACAUACCGGUGCAUGCGGUCCAAUGAGUGUUGAUGCUCGUGGUGGGUAUCGUUAUUUUCUAACCUUCACAAGAUGAAUUGAGCAGAUAUGAGUAUAUCUACUUAAUGAAGCAAAAGUCUAAAACAUUUGAAAAGUUCAAAGAAUUUCAGAGUGAAGUGGAGAAUCAUCGUAACAAGAAAAUAAAGUUUCUGCAAUUUGAUCGCGGAGACGAAUAUUUGAGUUACGAGUUUGGUCUUCAUUUGUAACAAUGUGAAAUAGUUUCGCAACUCACGCCACUUGGAACACCACAAUGUAAUGGUGUGUCCGAACGUCGUAAUCGUACUUUACUAGAUGUGGUGCGAUCUAUGAUGUCUCUUAUCGGUUUACCACUAUUGUUUUGGGGUUAUGCAUUAGAGACAGCUGCAUUCACGUUAAACAGGGCACCAUCAAAAUCCGUUGAGACGACACCUUAUGAACUGUGGUUUGGCAAGAAACCAAAGUUGUCAUUUCUGAAAGUUUGGGGCUGUGAUGCUUAUGUGAAAAAAGUUUCAACCUGAUAAGCUCGAACCCAAAUCAGAGAAGUGCGUCUUCAUAGAAUACCCAAAGGAAACUGUUGGGUACAACUUCUAUCACAGAUCCGAAGGCAAGAUAUUCGUUACUAAGAUGGAUCCUUUCUAGAGAAGGAGUUUCUCUCGAAAGAAGUGAGUGGGAGGAAAGUAGAACUUGAUAAGGUAACUGUACCUUCUCCUGAAUUGGAAAAUAGUUCAUCACUGAAAACAGUUCCAGUGAUUCCUAUACCAAUUAGUGAGGAAGCUAAUGAUGAUGAUCAUGAAACUUCAGAACAAGUUACUACAGAACCUCGUAGGUCUUCCAGAGUACGGUCCACACUAGAGUGGUACGGUAAUCCUGUUUUGGAAGUCAUGUUACUAGACCAUGAUAAACCUACGAACUAUGAGGAAGCGAUGGUGAGCCCAGAUUCCGCAAAAUGGCUUGAGGCCAUGAAAUCUGAGAUGGGAUCCAUGUAUGAGAACAAAGUAUGGACUUUGGUUGACUUGCUCGAUGAUCAACAAGCCAUGGUAAAUUAAUGGAUCUUCAAGAGGAAGACGGACACUGAUAGUAGUGUUACUAUCUACAAAGCUCGACUUGUUGCGAAAGGUUUUCGACAAGUUCAAGGUGUUGAAUAUGAUGAUAUUUUCUCACUCGUAACGAUGCUUAAGUCUGUCCGAAUCAUGUUAGCAAUUGCCACAUUUUAUGAAAUCUGGCAAAUGGAUAUCAAAACUGUGUUCCUGAAUGGAUUUCUGGAAGAAAAGUUGUAUAUGAUACAACCAAAAGGUUUUGUCGAUCCGAAAGGUGCUAACAAAAUGUGCAAGCUCCAGCGAUCCAUCAAUGGACUGGUGGAAGCAUCUCGGAGUUGGAACAUACGCUUUGAUGAGUUGAUCAAAGCAUAUGGUUUUAUACAGACUUUUGGAAAGGCCUGUAUUUACAAGAAAGUGAGUGGGAGCACUACAACCUUUCUGAUAAGUAUAUGUGAAUGACAUAUUAUUGAUCAGAAAUGAUGUAGAAUUUUCUGAAAAGCAUAAAGGAGUGUUUGAAAGGAGUUUUUCAAAGAAAGACCUCAGUAAAGCUACUUACACAUUGAGCAUCAAGAUCUAUAGAGAUAGAUCAAGACGUUUGACAAGAUUUUUCAAUGAGUACAUACCUUGACAAGAUUUUGAAGUAGUUCAAAAUGGAACAGUCAAAGAAAGAGUUCUUGCCUGUGAUGCAAAGGUGUGAAGUUGAGUAAGACUCAAAACCCGACCAUGGCAGAAAAUAGAAAGAGAAUGAAAAGUCAUAUCCUAUGCCUCAGUCAUAGGUUCUAUAAAGUAUGCUAUGUUGUGUACCAGACCUAUUGUAUACCUUGCUCUGAGUUUAGCAAAGGAAUACAAUUUUGAUCUAAGAGAAUAUCCUUAGUGAGGACUAAGGAGAUGUUUCUCGAUUAUGGAGGUGAUAAAAGAGUUCGUCGUAAAGAGUUACAUCGAUGCAAGCUUUUACACCGAUCCAGAUGAAUCUAAGUAUCAAUCUAGAUACAUAUUGAAAGUGGGAGCAAUUAGCUAGAGUAGCUCCGUGCAGAGCAUUGUAGACAUAGAAUAUUUGCAAAAAUACAUACAGAUCUGAAUGUGACAGACCAAUUGACUAAACUUCUCUCACGAGCAAAACAUGAUCAUACUCUAGUAAACCCUUUGGGUGUUGAUCACAUGACGAUGUGAACUAUGGGUAUAAAUCACAUGGUGAUGUGAACUAGAUUAUUGACUCUAGUGCAAGUGGGAGACUGAAGGAAAUAUGCCCUAGAGGCAAUAAUAAAGUUAUUAUUUAUUUCCUUAUAUCAUGAUAAAUGUUUAUUAUUCAUGCUAGAAUUGUAUUAACCGAAAACAUAAUACAUGUGUGAAUACACAGACAAACAGAGUGUCACUAGUAUGCCUCUACUUGACUAGCUCGUGAAUCAAAGAUGGUUAAGUUUCCUAACCAUAGACAUGAGUUGUCAUUUGAUUAAUGGGUCACAUCAUUAGGAGAAUGAUGUGAUUGACUUGACCCAUUCCGUUAGCAUAGCACCCGAUCAUUUAGUGUAUUGCUAUUGCUUUCUUCAUGACUUAUACAUGUUCCUAUGACUAUGAGAUUAUGCAACUCCCGUUUACCGGAGGAACACUUUGUGUGCUACCAAACGUCACAACGUAACUGGGUGAUUAUAAAGGAGCUCUACAGGUGUCUCCGAAGGUACAUGUUGGGUUGGCGUAUUUCGAGAUUAGGAUUUGUCACUCCGAUUUGUCGGAGAGGUAUCUCUGGGCCCUCUCGGUAAUGCACAUCACUAUAAGGCUUGCAAGCAAUAUAGCUAAUGAGUUAGUUACGGAAUGAUGCAUUACGUAACGAGUAAAGAGACUUGCCGGUAACGAGAUUGAACUAGGUAUUGGAUACCGACGAUCGAAUCUCGGGCAAGUAACAUACCGAUGACAAAGGGAACAACGUAUGUUGUUAUGCGGUCUGACUGAUAAAGAUCUUCGUAGAAUAUGUGGGAGCCAAUAUGAGCAUCCAGGUUCCGCUAUUGGUUAUUGACCGGAGGCGUGUCUCGGUCAUGUCUACAUAGUUCUCGAACCGGUAGGGUCCGCACGUUUAAGGUUUCGAUGACAGUUAUAUUAUGAGUUUAUGAGUUUUGAUGUACCGAAGGAGUUCGGAGUCCCGGAUGAGAUUGGGACAUGACGAGGAGUCUCGAAAUGGUCGAGACGUAAAGAUUGAUAUAUUGGACGACUAUAUUCGGAGUUCGGAAAGGUUCCGAGUGAUUCGGGUAUUUUUCGGAGUACCGGAGAGUUACGGGAAUUCGCCGGGGAGUAUAUGGGCCUUAUUGGGCUUUAGGGGAAAGAGAGAGGAGAGGCUGGGCGCCCCCCAAGGCCUAGUUGGAAUUGGACUAGGGGGGGGGGGGCUGCGCCCCCUCCUUCCUUCUCUUCUCUUCCCCCUUUCCUUGACUCCUACUCCUACUACUUGGAAGGAGGGGAAUCCUACUCCCGGUGGGAGUAGGACUCCUCCUUGGCGCGCCCCCUCCUAGGCCGUCCGCCUCCUCCCCCCUUGCUCCUUUAUAUACGAGGGCAGGGGGGCACCUCUAGGCAGAACAACAAUUGAUCUCUUGAUCUCUUAGCCGUGUGCGGUGCCCCCUCCACUAUAGUCCCCCGCGAUAAUAUUGUAGCGGUGCUUAGGCGAAGCCCUGCGGCGGUAGAACAUCAAGAUCGUCACCACACCGUCGUGCUGACGGAACUCUCCCUCGACACUCGGCUGGAUCGGAGUUCGAGGGACGUCAUCGAGCUGAACGUGUGCUAGAGGAGGUGCCAUAGUUUCGGUGCUUGAUCGGUCGGGCCGUGAAGACGUACGACUACAUCAGCCACGUUGUUCUAACGCUUCCGCUUUCGGUCUACGAGGGUACGUGGACACACUCUUCCCUCUCGUUGCUAUGCAUCACCAUGAUCUUGCGUGUGCGUAGGAAUUUUUUUGAAAUUACUACGUUCCCCAACAGAGACAACAUACAUCUCAUCAAAAUAUCGAACGAAUACCAAAUUCACAUGACUACUAAUAGCAAAACUUCACCCAUGUCGUCAGGAACAAACGUAACUACUCACAAAACAUAUUCAUCUUCAUAAUCAAAGGAGUAUUAAUAUGCAUUAAAGAUCUGAACAUAUGAUCUUCCACCAAGUAAACCAAUUAGCAUCAACUACAAGGAGUAAUCAACACUACUAGCAAACCACAGGUACUAAUUUGUUGUUUGAAUACAAGAUUGGGUACAAGAGAUGAACUAGGGUUUUGAGAGGAGAUGGUGCUGGUGAAGAUGUUGAUGGAGAUUGACACCCUCCCGAUGAGACGAUCGUUGGUGAUGACAAUGGUGAUGAUUUCCCCCUCACGGAGGGAAGUUUCCCCGGCAGAACAGCUCCACCGGAGCCCUAGAUUGGUUCCGCCAAGGUUCCGCCUCGUGGCGGCAGAGUUUCGUCCCGUAAGUUUGCUUAUAAUUUUUUCCAGGGUAAAAGCCUUCAUAUAGCAGAAGAUGGGUACCGGAGGGCCACCAGGGGGCCCAGGAGACAGGGGCGCGCCCAAUAGGGGUGGGCGCGCCCCCCACCCUCCUGGCCAGGGUGUGGGCCCCCUCUGGUAUUUUCUUCGCUCAAUUAUUCUUAUUAAUUCCAAAAGUGACUUCCGUGGAGUUUCAGGAUUUUUGGAGCUGUGCAGAAUAGGUUUCCAAUAUUUGCUCCUUUUCCAGCCAGAAUUCCAGCUGCCGGCAUUCCCCCUCUUCAUGGUAAACCUUGUAAAAUAAGAGAGAAUAGCCAUAAGUAUUGAGACAUAAUGUGUAAUAACAGCCCAUAAUGCAAUAAAUAUUGAUAUAAAAGCAUGAUGCAAAAUGGACGUAUCAUAGGGGCGGAUGUAAUUUUUUACAUCCACGCCCUACGCGGUAGUACCGCCCUAUGCACGCGGUAGUACCGUGAGUCCUGGUUCAGCACAGCAACACAAGUGGAAGUAGGGGCGGAUGUAAUUUUUUUACAUCUGCUCCCUGCGCGGUAGUACCGCACGCCAAGUGAGGUAGUACCGUGUCGGAUUUUUGCACUGUUUGAUUUUCAGCGGAAGUAGGCACGGAUGUAUUUUAUUCAUCCGUGCCCUUCCCAGGCUAGUUCACUCUAGCCUUGCGAUAGUACCGCGUCAGUGGCAGUACCGCCCUCAGCCUUUGCGGCUCAGGCCUGGACUAGCUCAUGCCGUAGCAGCGGUAGUACCGCGGUCCGUCGCGGUAGUACCGUGAGCCCCUGCGGUAGUACCGCAGGUCGCGGGCUGAGUAAGUGGAUAACGGUUGGAUUUGUCUCUCCACUAUAUAAGUGGUGUCUUUUUCCUCUAGUUGACUACCUCUUCCACCCUAAAGCUCCAUUGUUGCUCCAAGCUCCAUUUUCGCCCGAUCUCUCUCCCUAGCCAAUCAAACUUGUUGAUUUGCUCGGGAUUGAUUGAGAAGGCCCCGAUCUACACUUUCACCAAGAGAAAUUUGAUUCCCCCCACUAAUCCCUAGCGGAUCUUAUUACUCUUGGGUGUUUGAGAACCCUAGACGGUUGAGGUCACCUCGGAGCCAUAGUCCAUUGUGGUGAAGCUCCGUGGUGUCGUUGGGAGCCUCCAAUUAAGUUAUGGAGAUUGCCUCAACCUUGUUUGUAAAGGUUCGGUCGCCGCCUUCAAGGGCACCAAUAGUGGAAUCACGACAUCUCGCAUUGUGCGAGGGCGUGAGGAGAAUAAAGUGUCCCUAGUGGCUUCUUGGGGAGCAUUGUGCCUCCACACCGCUCUAACGGAGACGUACUUCCCUCAAAAGGAAGGAAUUUUGGUAACAUAUCCUCGUCUUCACCGGCUCCACUCUUGGUUAUCUCGUGCCUUUACUCUUGCAAGCUUAUUUGUGUUAUAUCCUUUGCUUGCUUGUGUGCUUGUUGUUGUUGCAUCAUAUAGGUUGCUCACCUAGUUGCAUAUCUAGACAACCUACUUUGAUGCAAAGUUUAAUUUGGUAAAGAAAAGCUAAAAAUUGUUAGUUGCCUAUUCACCCCCCUCUAGUCAACUAUAUCGAUCCUUUCAACCUUGAAGUAUGGAUAUCAUCUUGGGCCUUCGCGAAUCUUGGGUGGAGUCUGACCAGAUGGUCUCCUGAUCUCUCCUCUAAGCUCCCCAAUAGCAUAAAGCACUUGCUUGAAGUACCAAGAGAUGAUCUCCAUUGAUCUCCUGAAUGUGUUGUGAAUGACACUGAACCUCUGGUUAUGGCCAACAACAUGGAGGAACAUGGCCACUUGCUCUUCGACACUGGUGUUGAUGCUAUCUUGUAGCAGCCCCCUGCUCCUGAAGGUCUCGACAAGCCUGGCAAAUGGUGCUAUUUUUAUCCUAAGCAUCCAUAGAGCCUCGACGUCAUUGCAGUUGUAGAUGUAGUUCAGAUUUUGGAUCCUCUCCUGUUCCCGGGGAAACAAUGAACCAUAGCGGAUCAAAGGUCUCCCAACACGACGAAGAGCUCUCUGGUGCAUGAACAUGACCCAUGCCUGAACCACACUAAUCAGUGCUGCUGCCUGGAUUAUUCAGCCUCAUCCGUGUGUCCAUAACCUAGUCGACAUCGACGGUUCGUUCAGUGGGAAAUCGAUCUACACCCAACUUAACGGCCUAACCACUGAGCUAACAAGGGGGGGGGGUGGUGCUGCUUACCGGCACCGGAGAUGAGGACGGCUUAGGGGGAGCCAUGGCACAGACAAGGUCGACCAGACGGUGGCCAACAACAAGGGGAGCACCAGAUCCGCCGCAAAGGCCGCCGCAGCCGCUGUCUAUAGCGCAGAUUUGAAAUCGCAGCCGCCGCCGGUGGUGAGGCAGUAGGAAAGAAAGGGGGCAGUGGCUAUGGGUGAGCGAGUGAAAGGGGGGUGAGGCUAAUUUGGUGCCGGGACNNNNNNNNNNNNNNNNNNNNNNNNNNNNNNNNNNNNNNNNNNNNNNNNNNNNNNNNNNNNNNNNNNNNNNNNNNNNNNNNNNNNNNNNNNNNNNNNNNNNNNNNNNNNNNNNNNNNNNNNNNNNNNNNNNNNNNNNNNNNNNNNNNNNNNNNNNNNNNNNNNNNNNNNNNNNNNNNNNNNNNNNNNNNNNNNNNNNNNNNNNNNNNNNNNNNNNNNNNNNNNNNNNNNNNNGCCUCGCUCCCGCCCGUGCGACCUCGCGCCGCACUCAGCGUAGCUCACGAGAAAUUGCCGAUCAGAGCGUUUCCAGCGAGCAAGGCUCUGGGCUGCUUUAAGAAGCGUGCGAUGCAGGCCCAACAGAAAAACCAGGCAACAAAACAUGCCUCUUCCUUCCCGCGCGGGCCUGGUUGGGCUCGAUGCAGGCAACCAAACAUGCCAAAAAAGCACUUUCAAGGAAGGAAGAGGGGGAGAGCAUGGCGAGGGAGUGGGAGGAAGAUUCCUUCCAUUCCAUUGGUGGUGUGAAGUUCGAAGGAGCGUGGGCCCUUGGAUCCGGAUCGGACGACUGAUUCAAACCCACUCUCCAUCUCCAUCUCCAGGGAGGGAGGAACCGCGUCGCGUGGACCAGUCCGCCCGCCAUUGACCUCCUCUCCUCUCCCCCCAAACCUCGCCCCCGCCAUGGCCGCCGCGACGGCCGCCGCCGAGAUCGCCGCGCUGCCGGAGCCGCGCGGCCCGCUGCGCCGCCUCUGCGGCGACCUCUCCCGCCGCGUCCGCCUCCUCGCCCCGCUCCUCGACGACCCCUCCGCCUCCGCCUCGCCCCCGCUCGCCGACGCCCNNNNNNNNNNNNNNNNNNNNNNNNNNNNNNNNNNNNNNNNNNNNNNNNNNNNNNNNNNNNNNNNNNNNNNNNNNNNNNNNNNNNNNNNNNNNNNNNNNNNNNNNNNNNNNNNNNNNNNNNNNNNNNNNNNNNNNNNNNNNNNNNNNNNNNNNNNNNNNNNNNNNNNNNNNNNNNNNNNNNNNNNNNNNNNNNNNNNNNNNNNNNNNNNNNNNNNNNNNNNNNNNNNNNNNNNNNNNNNNNNNNNNNNNNNNNNNNNNNNNNNNNNNNNNNNNNNNNNNNNNNNNNNNNNNNNNNNNNNNNNNNNNNNNNNNNNNNNNNNNNNNNNNNNNNNNNNNNNNNNNNNNNNNNCCCCCCUCUUCCUCUACCACCGCCACCGCCACCGCUACACCCCAAAGAUUGAUUUUUUCCCCCGCCCGCCCACGACCGCACAGGCCAUGCGAGGCCGGGACAGCCUCCUCCGCGAAUUCGCCGCCGUCAACGAGCGGAUCCAGGCCGCGCUCGACCAGCUGCCCUACCACGACUUCGACAUGCCCGAGGAGGUGCAGGAGCAGGUGCCACACCAAUCCAAUUUCCAUCAGAUUUCACACCUCAAUCCAAUUCUGUUCUGACUGCCGUUGAUCCCCACAGGUGGCGCUGGUGCACUCGCAGUUCAAGCGGGCGGCGACGAGAGCGGAGCCGGCGGACGCGCAGCUCGCGAGGGACCUGGCAUGGGCGCUCAGCGACGACAAGCCAACCGUGCCGGCCCUCCUCAUGAGGGUCUCGGAGAAGCUGCAGCUCGAGACCAUGGCCGACAUGAAGCGCGAGUCGGUGGCGCUGCACGAGAUGGUCAUCUCCAGCGGCGGCGAGCCCGAGGGCUGCGUCGACGAGAUGUCCUCCCUGCUCAAGAAGCUCAAGGACUGCGUCAUCGCCCAGGCCCCCGCCGCCGAGGCUCCCGGCGUGGGCAGGUCUCCCUCUGUGAAGUCCCCUAUCAUCCCCGACGAGUUCAGAUGCCCCAUUUCGCUCGAGCUGAUGCAGGACCCUGUCAUCGUCUCCAGCGGUCAGGUAGUAGGGUUGUUGAAUUCUACGCGAUGAUGCUAGUCAUUCCUCUUCAAGCACAUUUAUCCUAACGAUCAUUAUCUUAUUUUCAGACGUACGAGCGGUCCUGCAUCCAGAAGUGGCUUGAUUCUGGGCACAAGACCUGCCCCAAGAUGCAGCUGGCCCUAACGCAUACUUCCCUCACACCAAACUUUGUCCUCAAAAGCCUGAUAGCGCAGUGGUGCGAAGCCAAUGGCAUUGAGCUUCCCAAGAACAAGGCCAACUCCCAUGACAAGAAAGCGGUGAAAAGUUCCGACUAUGACAAUGCUGGUCUGGUCUCGCUGAUGAAUAGGCUGCGGGGCGGGAACCAGGACGAGCAACGGGCAGCUGCGGGGGAGAUCCGGUUGCUUGCCAAGAGAAAUGUCAACAACCGGAUAUGCAUCGCUGAAGCAGGGGCCAUCCCAUUGCUGGUCAAUCUGCUCUCCUCUUCCGAUCCAAGAACGCAGGAACACGCCGUCACGGCGCUCCUUAACCUCUCCAUCCACGAGAACAACAAGGCAAGCAUCGUGGACUCCAACGCCAUUCCUAAGAUAGUGGAAGUGCUGAAAACAGGGAGUAUGGAAGCCAGAGAGAACGCAGCAGCCACGUUGUUUAGCCUGUCAGUUGUGGAUGAAAACAAAGUAACUAUUGGAGCUGCUGGUGCGAUACCUCCACUCAUCAAUCUUCUGUGCGACGGGAGCCCAAGAGGCAAGAAAGAUGCGGCAACGGCAAUUUUCAACCUGUGCAUAUAUCAGGGCAACAAGGUCCGGGCGGUGAAAGCUGGAAUCGUCACCCAUCUGAUGAACUUCUUGGUGGAUCCCACUGGGGGAAUGAUUGACGAGGCACUCACUCUUUUGUCGAUUCUUGCCGGCAAUCAAGAAGGCAAGUCUGUAAUCACACAAUCAGAGCCAAUGCCUCCACUAGUCGAGGUGAUCAAAACUGGCUCUCCUCGCAACAGAGAGAACGCGGCAGCCAUUCUAUGGUCUCUCUGUUCUGCUGAUGCUGAACAAACCAUGGCUGCAAAGGCGGCUGGAGGGGAAGAUGCGCUCAAGGAGCUGUCAGAAACCGGCACAGACCGCGCAAAAAGGAAAGCUUCUAGCUUACUUGAACUCAUGCGCCAAUCAGAGGAGGCAUGAAGAUUUUCUUGAAAUGCGAGGCUUUUGGCCUGGCUAUAGCCAAUUGUACACACGACACGGAUACUUAAUUGCUUCUGAAUAGUGUUGACUUUUGAUAUGUUUGUAUCUAGGGAGGUCUGCUCAGAAUUUUCUGUAAACACAUAAAUGGUCGUAUACUAUUGUAACUCAAAAAAAGUUGUAUUUCUUGAUAAGAAGAUAAUAAAUAAUUUUCUGUGUGGUUUACUUUGCUGAUUUUUAUCAGUUCUGGUCUCAUGGUUUUAAACACAUUCCCAUUUUGGUUGUAGAACAGGAUUUUUUAUUAUUAAAGGAAGCGACGAGGAAUUCAGAAGUUUUUUCCCCUUGGGUAGCUCUGCUUUUUUGGUGAUGUGUCUGGUGGCUUCAUUCUGAAGUAAGUUCCUUCUCAGAAAAUUAUUACUGCAUUUUAAUUUCUAUUUCCAUUGUUUGUGUCUAAAUCUCAAGUAUGGAUUACUAGGUUAAUGUGGCUUAGCUUCUUUAGAGUUAAAUACCCACAUCAUGCAGCUAUAUAUUACAGUACCAUCUAUUUCAUAGGAAAAAACAUUGAACACUAUUUUCUCUCUUUUUUUUUUGAGGGGUACAAUAUUUUCUCUUGAUAAGUAAAACAUGAUGGGACAGAAUAUUGGUAUGGAUACAUGAUCCAUUUUGAGGUGAGCUAUGUAUAACCAUUUUCUGAGUCCACAUGCAAGGAACCUUACGUUGGGAGGCGUAUUCAGUGCAUUAAGGGUCAUGGGUACAGUACUCGUUUAGGUGAGAUGUGUUAGGAUUAAGAAUAAAAAAUCGGAAGUUCUGAAUUUUUUUCCCAUCAUUUCCCCUUUUUUGCCUGUAAGCUUUUUGCUAAUGUUAUCACUGGGCUCCUUUUACUUUUAGAGCCCUAGUUAGUGUGCUUGCAUCCAUGGGAAUAGCAUAGAAUCAUCAAUGAGCAGUUGCUGACUCACUAUUCUCCAAUGGAACCAGACAAAACGAAUGGUGUCAUUGCAUAUGCAAUGUUUUGACCAUGUGGGAUAGGGUGGUUAGCAAUCUCAAUUUCUCAAAGAGUAAAAAACUGUUUGCAAACAGAAGAUUCACAUCAGCUCUUGAACACUGCGCCAGCUAUAUGCUGGAACGCCGAGAGAGGAGUGAAGAAUCCAUGAAAUCAAACUGUCAGUUCUGGGCUCAAAACAAAAGUAGACGUGGGAUGGAGAACAUACAGAGAACCAAGUAGACAAGACGGUGCAGCAUGUCGAUCAUGUCACAUAAUUCGGUGGCAGCUACUUGCAAGCUACCAGCGCUUUCUGAAGAAAACCGAGGGAGAAAAUGUUCAAGGGGGAAACACAUCAGAGAGAGUAGAGGCAAGAUGCCAAGAUGUGGCCACUGCACCAGCAGGAUAUAUACAUAUCAUCGCUGCAUUAUUAGGAUAUUUGAAACACACAACAUGUUGCGACCAUAACUAGAUGUCUAGAAAAUCUUGUUCGCAGAAUGUAGUCUUUUCGGUCUACGUCAGUCAUGUCGUGGCACUCUUUCGGAGAACCAGAGAGGAUCUGCUCUCUUAGCAUGACAAUGAGGUUAUAAUAGUGUGUUGGGCGUCGUGCUGCCCAUGUGGGGACAAGUGUCCCUCCAUCAGUCACCCGGCAAUUAUGGCAAAUUCCAGCAGAAAGCCAUUUCCCCUGCCUGAAAAUGUAUAACAGAUGAUUGGAGUCACUGGAUCUGUUCGCCACGAGGCACCAUGUUCCUCUUGAGGAAAACAGGGUGGAUCUGUUUGCAGCUCUUGUUAACACCAUUUCUCUUCAACAGAAAUCCCUGAAGCAUCGUUAGAUCCCGGUAAGUAACUUUUUGCAGCUCUUGUUCACAUCACUGUAGUAAAUUUCUAUGCAACUUUCUCCAGUGUCCACCCUUAAACAUCUGUAAUGAAAUUUUUAGAUUCAUUCUGUUUCAUCCAUCUAGCUGCACAUUGUGGAUGGUAUCUAGCAAAUGUAACCUCCACAUCAUCUAGUUAGUGAGACAAGAGGUGCAGAAGCAUAACAAUAAAAAAGCCCAGCCAGUCUCCUACACUACAGACUACACUACCCUACAGUGUGUCCUGUCAGUAUACAACCCCAACAUGCAACAUGCAGUAGUAGCCCAGGGGGGCUGUCUAUCACAUGGCCACCCUAAGCCAAUGUAUGCAGGGAACACACUUCCAGGCUAAUCAAUCAUUUGCUUUGCUGCUUAAUCUUUCUCAUUUUAGCUCACUAAUCAACACCGCUUCCUGCGUGAUGACACAGCUAAGGUCUAAUCCUCACGCUUAAACAACCAAUCAAGCAAGCAAGUUGGGCUGAAGAGAUCUAAACUUCUGGCCUGGUACUUGCAGCGGCGUUCAACUUUUUCGCUUUGACCCCAACCGCACGCACCUAAUCAAGAUUCUCGCGCUUGGUUAUGGCCACUAACCAGAACAUGCACUGUGAUAUUAUUCUAUCUCCCACAUGUGGUGUUAACUAGUAACCAGUGCUGAUUCCAGCUUGGCCAGACACUUCCCAUUGGCCCUGGGCAUCAUGUUGCCACAAUUAUAUGCUCAUGUUACUAGUUAAUCUCUUGUCUGUCUAUUUUUUGCUGUCACAAGGGAUCUGGAUAGGUUGCAACUGGGAGUAGAAUAUGCGUCCGAGCUGAUCGUCUGGUGCGGAAAUCGACGACCAAGAUCCACUUCAGCUUGGUGAGGGAUCUGUGGUGGGAAGCGGCACGUGUCUGAUCCCUGAGCGUCGCUUCAUUUAUGAUGUUCGAUCCUGGCCGUCGGUUGCCUGACAGGACGGCCAAUUCUUUCCACUUGGUACGGUAGGGAACCCCUUGGUCCCUAUCUAUAAAGGCCAUGCAUAGAGAUACAGGGGAGUAAGCUAUUUGGAGCUGUACUUGCUAGCUGAUUAGCUUCAGACAUCUCACCAGGUGACAUAUAUCAUCUUUCUUUCUUUCUGAGGAGGAAGGAGAAGUAAUGGGGCACAUUGCUGAUCCUACGGGCGCCGUAGUCGUGGGCUGCAAAGUGCUGCCCAUCUUCAACGAGAAUGGCAUCGUGGACGGCGCGGUGAAGAAGAUCGUGCACAGGAUCGACGGGAAGAAGGCGGUCGCCCGGGUGAAGGAGCUCCUCAAGUGGGCUGCCCAGGCCAGGCCGUACGGCAGCAGCAACGGCGUCAGUGGGAAGAAAUGGAAGGUAUUAGUCACUAGUACUUGGUUUCUUUAGUUAAUGUUGAUCGUCGCAAGAGCACAUCUUGUUUCGAAGUUGUGUCGAUCCAGAUGGGAGACUUGUUAUAAUCUGAUGGAUCUUCUUUGUGCGAGCAGCAGUUCCUGAGCUUCCAGGGAAGGGACGGUGGUGGUCCUGCAGCACCGGUAUCAAAGUGCGACGACGACGCGAGCUCGGGGUCCGGGUCCGGCGGCAAGCUGAGCUUCAAGUGGGAGGCGGGCAGCUGCUCGUCGGCGUCGUCGGUGCUGUACUCGCCGCUGUCUUUCGCGUCGGCGCCGGCCGGGAGGACGGAGCAGCAGACACCGUCGAGGGGCAACGGGAGCUACAACUACAGCUACAACGCGUACGCGUCGCGGCUGUCGUCGGUGAGCCAGAAGAGCACGUCGUCGGAGGCGUGCCGGAUGGCGCAGUGGAUCACCACCGAUUCAGACUGUGAGUAGCUACAACCUCUGUGUAUGAUAUGUUAACAGGAUCCGUGCGUGAUUAGAGACACUAAUCCGUGCAUUAGCGUGGUAAUUAUUGACACGGCGUGUUUGGUUGGUUAAUUUUGUUGCAGUUGUGGUGCUGGAGCUGUAAGUGAAAAAUGAUACGCAUUGCUGAAGAUGGUGAAGCAGCAGCAGGGGGAUGUUGAGAGGAGACAACAUUUGAGAAACUGGCGAUGACUCAGCAACAAGAGCAGCAGCAGGGGGGCGAUGACUCAGCAGCCUCAUCAAGCUAGCUGGGUAGUUAAUUAGCUAGUGUUGUUAAUUACUCUAGUUUAGUUAGGGCGGGAGCUUAAGCAGACUGAUGAGCCUGACAGAGAAACAAUUAAUCACAAGGAAGGAGGUACAGCUGAUGCAUGAUGGAGCAGCAAAGCAAAGCAAGCAAUGAUGGAGUUAUCAAAUUAAGUCGGAGUGUAUAUACAUUAGCUAGUGUAUAUGCGUGUCUUUUUUGAUUCAUAAAUAAGGUGUACAUGCGUUACGCGUUUUUUUGUUUUUGCUCCUUUUUGAGAUAAAGAGAUGGUUACAUGGUUGAUUUUUUGUUUUUGUUCCUUUUUGAGAUAAAGAGAUGGUUACAUGGUUUGUUACAACAGGCAUAAUGACUGGUAACAACGGUCUAGCAAUUUUUUUUGCUGGCCCUGUUGCACCGGUUUUCGUCCGUUUUUCUUCUACUAGCAAAAGGGCCGUGUGUUGCAACAGAGGAAAAAAUAAUCAUAAUCUGCAACGGCCAUGAUCACAUUUUGCUGCAUCACCGAGAUAUAUUAUCAAAAUCAAUUUCAUGAAAUCAUGAACAGUUUUUUAAACUCGUGCAGAUAUUAGAAAUUUUGAACAAUUUUCAAAUUCAUGAACAAUUUUCUAAAAUCAACAACAUUUUUUGAAUUCAUGAACAUUUUAUAGUAUUUGCACAAAAAAUUGAACAUUUUUUGAAUAAGCAAACAUUUUUUUACAAAACUGCAAACAUUUUAUUUAAAAAUUCUUAUUUUUUUCUAUUUUGCUGGAUUUUUUUGAAGUCUCAAAUUAUUUGAAGUACGAAAAAUAUAAAAAUAAAAAUAAAAACGAAAUUUAAAAAAACAUGCAGCACGGACAUGGGCCGGCCCAAAAAGGCGCGCUGAGUCUUCUUCCGGCAUGCAGAGCGCAGUAUAGGAGAUCCCUACUACAUGGGCCAGCCAAGGCGGAGGAUUUCCUUAUGUGAAACAUUUUCUAUAUCACUUAUAGGUGGCAUUGGUGGGUAAUAUUUUGUAAUUUUAGGGACAAUUUCCAUGACGUACCGCCAAAAGAAAUAACCCUUUAUUAUUAUUAUUAGGUAUAGAUAUAGAUUAAUUAAUGUAACAAUUCUUCUUAAUUAAUAGAUGAGCUAGUAUUUCUCCAGUGGGUAAAUGGAGGCAGCAUGUGGCAGGUGCAUCAUCAGAUUAGCAAUGUUAUCAAAGCUGCUCUCCAACAAACUAAGAGGGGGAGGGAGCUACUCCAAUGUGGCCACGUGUGUCUCUCGCUCUCUUGCUAGUAACUCCAAUGCGGAUCAUCGAAUGGACAUCACCAAAUAUUCACGGACGUGUCCCCGGAGAGGGAUAAGGAUGGGCGUCAUCCAACCGCAGACACCAAAUAUUCACUUUUGGUUUUUUUAUACACGGAUUACUCAAAACAACUAGCACAAUUCUCAAUGCAACAAUAAUUCAAAUAAAAAUAUUGCAAUCCAAACAUGAAGUUUUUAAAUAAAAUUGUUCAAUAGUUCAAUUUUGAAUUCAUCUUAGCAGGCACAUGUUCUAGUUCUCCAUUUGAAACGCCCAAAGAAGCUCAACCAGAUCAUUCUGAAGUUGCUCAUGCGUUCCUCGAUGUCGAAUUUUAUGAUGCAUUUGGAUAAAAUCCUCAAAUGUCGCUAGAUUCUGCCGUGAAAGCUUGAUAGGAUCACCCACGUUUUGAAACUCUAAACCAUGCCGAACUCCAGCAUCCCCAUCCUCCACAUUCAUGUUGUGCAUGAUCACACAAGUUGUCAUCAUCUCCCAGGAUGUCUCCGGAUCCUAUAGUUUAGCAUGUCCGUGAACAACUGCAAACCGUCUUUGAAGCACUCCAAAUGCCCUGUCGACAUCGUUUUUAGCAGAUUUUUGUCUUUGGGCAAAGUGAUAUCUUUUGUUAGCCCUUGGUUGAGAGAUGGUCUUGACCAAAGUUGCCCAUGGAGGAUAGAUACCAUGAGAGAGAUAGAACUUACGAAAAUAAUUACUUCAUACGCAAUGCAUGCAACUUUCUGUUGUCAAAGCAGCUAAAUACAGGUGGAUGGGGAGAGACUUAUCUUUCUAGUGAAAAUUGAGGUAACUGUUCUUCUUUUCUGUAUUUAACCACAUGCUGUUAUUAGGGUUUGAUAAGGUCAUGCUUGGUUUGUAUUUUUUUAGCUUGAGCAAGAUUUUGAGAUGCUAUCCGCCUAUCCCUGAGCAAGCUUUCGAGAUGUUAUCCGCUAGCAGUUGUAUCUGGCAGAUCAUUAGCACAAACUCAAUAGCCCGAAAGAGUUCAGAAACUCGAACCAUCCGUUGGAAAUUCAUUAGGAAUAGGCUGUGUUGCGCAACCCUGGAGGCACUAAACUAGCGUCCUAGGUAUGUUAUACUUGCAAGGCAAACUAUUGAGCAACACAACCUUAUAAGAGGUCUUUGGUCCAUAUAAUUUGUGCUCUACUUCCCUCCACUGCCGUGUUUGUUCAUAGCAUCUCGAUAUUUGCUAAGUUUCAGUUUCUGGCCAAACGUUUGUUGAAUGAGCCUGUUUUCAUUGCAACUAGCUAGAUUUUAUCUGAAAAAACGCAAUAAGUAUGCACCCCGUUUUAUUGAUAGAUCCGAGAACAUUCGUACAUGCCCAAGCAGGCAACAACCGAGGGAAACAAAAAGAACCAAGUGGUACGGUCGCACCAUGAAAAAGAGCCUCAUGGCACAAUCGAGCUGAGUAGACGCUGCUAGUAGUCCAUCUUUUGAUCACCUCCAACAGUGCUGAAAAUGCACAUUCAGUCUAUACUGAAACCAUCAUCCAUUCUGGAACCCCGAUAAAAUGGGACCGGCUAGGGGGUCACCUAGGGAUUAACUAGCUGCGUUUUCAAGCCGACUUAUUUCAUCAUGGUUAACUCGUAUAGUUUUAUUUGCUUGUAACUACUAGUUGUAUACGGCCAAAUCAAUCCUCCCACAACACCUAUCUCUCAGACAAAUUCCAAUUUCCACGUAUAAUAAUCUUACUCAUUCUCCGUCUAUAAUCAAUGAAACAGUUGUCCCUUAUUAUGCUGUCACAUGAACUUAGAAAUUAGUCAUGUCAAUUGAUGUGAUGGAAGCAUCUUGGAAGUGAAAUUGUGACAAAAUAUGUUUGUCCUUAUUUGUUAGUCGAUGCUAGCUGCUCUUACCUUACCCAGCUGAAUGUUUUACCGUAGAGCCCUUGUUGUGCAAGCUACCAACUUGAGUCCUUUGAUUGAAUAAUUAAUUAUGUGCAUAAUGAUAAGCCAUUUAAAAUUGGUAUAAUUGAAAAUGUCUAGAUCCUGUUCCCUUUGAACCAUUGAGAUAUUGUGAGUACUGAUUAGGGCAUUUCUUAAUGAAUUUAAUGAUGGUUUCCACUCUAAUAUUUUACAGUCUUAUGUGGAUGCGGGGAGUCCUCAUGCAGUCAACACUGCUUGGGCAAUGUUAGCUUUAAUUUAUGCUGGGCAGGUAUGUUUUCUUCAUGGUUCAUUUGAAUUGACUUUAAACUAUUCUGGCAUCCACAUGUUAUUUUCAUAUCACGGUCAUUCUAUUCAGGUUGAGCGAGAUCCCACACCACUAUAUCAUGCUGCAAAAGAAUUGGUCAAUAUGCAACUAGACACAGGCGAGUUUCCCCAGCAAGUAAGAAUUGAACUUUUGAGUCUACAGAAGUAGCACACUAAUAUUAAUAGUUGUAUUGUUCCAGCUUAGGAUCAUAACUAGUACAUACUAUCAAAAGAAAUAUUUUCAAGGCACAACACCCUACCAUGAUAAUGUUGAAUCCUCUGAUAACCUUGUUAUACUAAUACACACUACCUCCGUCCCAUAAUGUAAUACGUUUUUUGACACUAUUAUACCAAAGUAAUUUCUUUGGAAAUGUCUUCCUAAAGCAAUCUGAACUUCUUCCUUUGGUCACAGGAACACGUUGGAUGCUUCAACUGCUCCUUUUACUACAAUCACGGCAACUACAGCAAUUUAUUCCCCAUCUGGGCUCUUGGGGAGCUUCGUCGUCGACUGCGUGAGAAGAACUGAAUCCGCUGAACAUGGUCCAACAGAAGAUGAGAUUGUGUAAAUCCAACAUCUGCCUACAUCUAUGAAUCAUUGCACUUCCAGAGUUAUGCAGUACGCUGAUUGCUGAAAUAAUAUUUGAGUACUGAAUGCUAUAGCCUAAUAACUGUGGAGAAAAGUCUAGGAAUUUUUAUGUGAUGGGGCUGUGGUAUGUAAUAAUACUAUGGAAAACAAUGUAUGCAGGAAGUGUAUUCAUUCAAAUAAUAUCUUAUAUUCCAUUUGGAAUAUCCAAUGGUCUGUCGAAUGUAUAGCUGUUGCCUAUAUAAGAUGGUCGAUUCAUAUCACUCAAUAAAUCUUCAAGUAGUCACUGUUACUGUAUGAAAGAAUUCAGUGAUUUUGUUCAAGAAUUCAUUGACUGAAUCUUCUUCUUACCAAAAUAUAUUGAGUCUUGCAGAGCUACGCUUCUUUCAAGCUGCUAGGAGUGCGUCUUUUGGCACUCUAGAGUCGGUGGACGAAACAGAGCAUCCAGCAAAAAAAUAGAGGAGCUGCUCUGUUCUGUUUCGGAGCUGCAGUUGCAAAGAGCAGUUAACAGGGUAACAAGUUUAACUAGUGACUGUUUUGUACUUGAUCAUGGAUGGAUCGCCAAUAACAGAGCAGUUUCGUACAACUGAUUGCAGUACCAAUGAACGGAUGUACCAGUAGGUUCCAACUGUUCAAAUAAGAAAGUACUCCUUCCGUUUCAAAAUAGAUGACUCACUGGCAAUUGAUGAGACAACUGAUCAGUGUGGUGUCUAAGCUGAACACAACCGACUAAUGGGCUUCUUCGCAUGUUGGCUCUUGAGGUCCCAACACCACCGGCAGCUAGUAGUUCAUACCUGGGAGUGAAGCUUCCUUACAACGAUGACUUUGCUGUCAGUCAGGGGAGGUGCAGCUCAUCUCCGCGCAGCAUGAGCUCCCGGCCGUCUCCAUCGCCGGCACCAGAGCCCGCAUGGAACGCGAGCACGAGCACCUGACCAACACCGGGGAGGUGCCGCGCCAUGAGGACUUCGGAGCUCAAGCGCGGGUGCACAGGAGGUGCGUUCAACCAAAUGCCAAAGAGAGAGAGGGAGGAGCAAGAAGAAGAUUGUGGGCCCCACCUGUAAUAAUGGUCAACUGAAUGGUCAAAAUAAGCAGGGUUGACUUUGUUGCCAUGUCAGCCCUGACAAAAAACGGUCUAAACUAGCCAUGGUAGUUUUUAGUCACAAAUAUUUUUAAAAAAUUGAUAGUUAUCAGUCAUUUUUUAAAAUGUGGUAGUUCAAUGGGAUGCAAACUCCUAUAGUGGUACUCCCUCCAUCACAGUUUACAAAGCGCGCUACAACAAUCUCUGGAACCAAGGCAAUUAGUGAUAUGGACUGAAAAAUAGUAUCGGUAGUUAUAGCACGGCGCCUAUUACUAGAGUAAUUAAUGCAUACACACAUGCAUGCAGUUAUUCCACUCCACGUACACACCUACAUGAAGAGAAAAUUGUGGGCUUGAUUGCGGUUAUCACACCCUAAUUAAUUGGGCAUUAAACCAAUGACGCUUAAAAUCCCUUCGGUGGUGGAAGUGCAUGACAAUUGAAGCGCGCCGUGCAAACUGUGACGGAGGGAGUAGUUUCUUUUGUCAAUCGAUCAUUAUAUCACUUCAGCACAAAAAUGUGGUGGCAUGCAUUUAUUUGUAUUUUUGGGGUUUUGUAGAAAUAUAUUUAGGAAGGUAUAUCUCUUGAUUGGAUACAUCAGAUAUUAUGACCUAACCCAACUUUGCUCUUUUUUUGCUUCUGCAUUAUUUUUUCGCAUUGUUGUCUUAUAGGCAGGUCAUAAGUGACGCUUCUUUAUUUUGUAUAUUGGCCUUCCAAAAAUAUAUUCCUGCCGUGUUGCUGCAUGUCGCCACUUCAACCCAUGGUCCGGUGGCAGUAAUGAUCUGCAAAUAAAUAUUGCUUCCUUGUAAAACUAGCACUCCCUCUUAAACUAAUAUAAGAGCGUUAAGAUUACUAAAGUAGUGAUCAAAACGCUCUUAUAUUAGUUUACGGAGGGAGUACAUGCAUGCGUGCAAUGCACAUUGAUAGUAGGCAGAAAAUUAAUUGCACAUUGAUAUCAGGCAGAAAAUUCAUUUCGCGUUUGAUAAUAGGUAGGAUAUUGUAUUACUUAGGUGCUAAUUAUGUAGAUAGUCCAUAUUUGAUAUGUUGUUAAUUGCACACUAAAUAUGUUGAGCGCUCGCCAUUGGAGAAAUAUAGGUCAUUAGAUCGACACUGUUUGAUGGCUGAGAUUUGUUGCAUCUGCCCCUUUGGGUCUUUUUAUAUUGGUAUAGAUAUAGAUAUAGAUGAUUGUAUCUUCUCCCCGACAAUAAUUUACAAUAUUCAUUUGCUUCUCAAAUAUUGCAUUAAUUCAAAUAUUAAAUGAUUCAAAUUUAUGGUGCUCCAAAACAUUAAUUUGCUUCUAUAAAAGUACUGCCAAAAGAGAGCAUUGCAACCCACAAAAAUUCAGAAGAACGACAUAACAUAGAGAAGGAAAAAAGGCCGUCAUGGCAAUAUUCAACAAGAACACAAGUGCCCAGUGCUUGUUAGCUCUUGUGCUCAUUGCUACUGUCAUUUCGUCUUGUUAUGCGUUUGGUCCAGGUACGUGCAUCUCUGUGGUUUUGCCACGUGAUGCUAAUUUUCUAUGUAUUUCACAAUGUUGAGUUGUAUGGAUCUUAUGGCAACUGAUCCAUGCUGAAGCGUAACUUGCCAUAUUGUCUGGGUAUUCUUCUAACAGUGUGUUUUUUUUGUGAAAUGUAGAAGGAGGAUGUUUCAUGCCUUUCCUGAGUUGCAAUCUGGACUUGUGCAGGCGUGACUGCAACGGUUUACUUGCCUCUUGCCAAAUGAUAGGCGAGUUUCACCACCGAUGUUGUUGCGCUCCCAAGAAACUCAAUGCAUCUACUGAUAAGAAUAGUCGUCCUUGAGAUAUGCAUUCCGAUAUUAUAGUUUAUAGGUCACUGCUUUUUCCUGGAUCCAAUUCUGCCCGAUUGAAUAAAAUUUAUCACCAUUGAAAAAAUGUUGCUCCCGAGAUAUUUAUGUAUUGUGUGAAGCCGUAAUGCUUCGUUUGGAUGUUCAUAUUCAGACCUCAACAUUGAUAUUGGGGCCAAUAUCAAUUGAACUUGGACAUUGAUAUUGACAUUUAAGACAAAUUUUGCUGUUUGGAUGUUGAUAUAUUUGACACUUCAACAUUGACAAUGAGACCAAGUUACACUUCAACAUUCCAAAAGAGAGCAUUGCAACCCACAAAAUUUCAGAAGAACGACAUAACAUAGAGAAGGAAAAAAGGCCGUCAAGACAAUAUUCAAGAAGAACACAAGUGCCCAGUGCUUGUUGGCUCUUGUGCUCAUCGCUACUGUCAUUUCAUCUUGCGAUGCGUUUGGCCCAGGUACGUGCAUCUCUGACCUAACUAUAAGUCACUGUGGUUUUGCCAUGUGAUGCUAAUUUUCUAUAUAGUUCACAAUAUUGAGUUGUAUGGAUCUUAUGGCAUCUGGUCCAUGCUGAAGCGUACCUUGCCAUGUUGUCUGGCUAUUCUUCUAACAAUGUAUUUUUUUUGUUUGUGAACAUGUAGAAGGAGGAUGUUUCAUGCCUUUCAUGAGUUGCGAUCUGGACUUGUGCAGGCGUGACUGCAACGGUUUAUCUGCCUCUUGCCAAAUGAUAGGCGAGUUUCACCACCGAUGUUGUUGCGCUCCCAAGAAACUCAGUGCAUCUAUUGAUAAGAAUAGUCAUCCUUGAGAUAUGCAUUCCGAAAUUGUAGUUUAUAUGUCACUGCUUUUUCCUGGAUCCAAUUCUGCCUGAUUGAAUAAAAUUUAUCACCAUUGAAAAAAUAUCACUCCCGAGAUAUUUACGUAUCGUGUGAAACCGUAAUGCUUCGUUUGGAUGUUCAUAUUCAGACCUCGGCAUUGAUAUUGGGGCCAAUAUCAAUUGAACUUGGACACUGAUAUUGACAUUUAAGACAAAUUUUGUUGUUUGGAUGUUGACAUAUUUGAUACUUAAUUAGACAUUGACAUUGACACCAAUUCUAAAUCUUCUUGGAUGUUCAUACUGUUCACUUGGCACUAGGUCCACAUGUGAUACUCUGUCCUCCACAACUUUUCAUCCACUUCUCUUCUCUGCCGACAAUCGUACAAUUGACAUGAAAAAAGAGGGAUUGGAAAAAGAGAAGAACUAGAGUUACGCUCGUAUCAUGCCCUUCCCCAUCCCCUCACGGAACUCCACCGUCACCUUCCCCUCGUCUCGCGCCGAUGCAGAGCCACAAUGCCACCGAUAGCACCUCCUUUACAACUCCAUUUCUUUUUCAGUGCCAGCCAGUGUCGUGCACUACAUCCUUCGCCCUCCUCCAGCUUCAUCCGCGUCAUUGCACUAUGCUCCACCCUCGGAGGAUGAAUGCUUUCCCGCUACUACUGACUUCGAGUUCGCCUCACGCCAUGGCCGCAAUGGCGCCGAUGCCCCCACCAUGAGCUCCGGCAUGGAGCUAUUUCACUCUAUUGGCAUCCGCGUUGGCUACCUCUCCCCAUCCGCCAAGAAACGGCUCUCGAGGAGUGGGCGGAGUUGGGCGGCCUUGACCACCACGUGCUGAGGCCUCACUUAGUCAGGUUGGCUCAGAAGGGGAAGUGGCCGGCUGGGCACUGCGGCUCAUAGGGGGAAGUGGAGGACGUGGUCGUAGUCAAGGAGGAGUGCUUGGGUGCACGACUCCGGCCCUCCCCUUUGACCUUAAUGGGUAUUAGGGCAUCUCCAACGUUGACCCCAAACCAGACACCGUAUCCGUCCGCGAACACGGUGGGGAGCAGUCCAUAGGCACUGAUGACAGAGCUGGCCAUCCAAAUUUGUUCCCUAAAUGUCCGCCCAGGUACGGUCAGUUUGAAAUUCAAAUGAAUCUGACCACAUAGCGCGCGCCAGAUCACGUAAAGCCCGUUCGCAACCAAAUGAGUCGAAACAAGCCGGGUUUUGCACUGUUUCUUCUUCAUAUUUUCCUGGGUUUUUUCGCUUUGUUUUCUUUUGGUUUCACCAUUUUUUUCUGUAUUCAUUUGGUUUUUUCUUUACUUUUUUUCUUUUUCUUUGGUUUACUUAUUUUUUUUUCUUUUCAUUUGUUUCAUUUUGUUUCUNNNNNNNNNNNNNNNNNNNNNNNNNNNNNNNNNNNNNNNNNNNNNNNNNNNNNNNNNNNNNNNNNNNNNNNNNNNNNNNNNNNNNNNNNNNNNNNNNNNNNNNNNNNNNNNNNNNNNNNNNNNNNNNNNNNNNNNNNNNNNNNNNNNNNNNNNNNNNNNNNNNNNNNNNNNNNNNNNNNNNNNNNNNNNNNNNNNNNNNNNNNNNNNNNNNNNNNNNNNNNNNNNNNNNNNNNNNNNNNNNNNNNNNNNNNNNNNNNNNNNNNNNNNNNNNNNNNNNNNNNNNNNNNNNNNNNNNNNNNNNNNNNNNNNNNNGGCUUUCUUCGGAUUUUUUCGAUUUUCUGCUCUUUUUUUCUUCUUCUCCAUUCUUUAAUUCUUCUCUUUCUGUUUUCUUUUAUUCCUCUUCUUUCCUUUUUUAUUCCAUGCUAUUUUCUACAUUUGUUUAUUCCAUUCUAUUUUUCAUUUUUGGUUUAUUUUGUUUCUUUUCAACUUUCGUUUUCUCGUAUCCGUCAUAUACAUUUUGUGCAUAUGUCACAAGCUUUUUUCUAAUACAUGUUUCAUAUUUUCUCAAUAUAAGUUUAACAAUAUUUAAUACAUGGUCAACAUUUUUACUAUACACAUUAUUAACAACUCUUAAAUGAUUGAUUAAGUUUUUCAAAUACAAGAUUAACAUUUAUCUAUGCACAUUUAACAUUUUUUCAAAUGCUUGACUAAUAUUUUGUAAAUGCAACAUUUAACUAUUUUUAACACAUGGUCAACAUGUUUUAUAUACAUAUUUAACAUUUUCUAAAUGCUUGAUUAACAUGUUUCCAAUACUGGUUCAACAUUUUAAAAUGAUUGAUUAAAUUUUUUAUGUUCAUUAUUAAGAAAACAGCAUUUUUAAUAGAUGGUCAACAUUUUUUCUAUACGAAUUUAACAUUUUUCAAAUACUUGAUGAACAUUUUGAUAGAAGUUUUCAAAAAUCUAAAUAUAUGAUCAAAAGAUUUCAUCAUAUUUCAUACAUGGUCAACAUUUUUAUUAUACACAUUAUUAACAAUUUUAAAUGAUUGAUUAAGAUUUUAAAAUACAAGCUUAACAUUUUUCUAUGCACAUUUAACAUUUUUUCAAAUGCUUGACUAAUAUUUUGGCUAUGCAAUAUUUAACUAUUUUUAACACAUGGUCAACAUGUUUUCUAUACAAAUUUAACAUUUUCUAAAUGCUUGAUUAAAAUGUUUCAAAUACUGGUUCAACAUUUCAACAUGAUUGGUUAAAUUUUUUAUAUGCAUUAUUAAAAAAAUCAGCAUUUAUAAUAGAUGGUCAACAUUUUUUUGAUAGGAAUUUAAUAAUUUUCAAAUACUUGAUGAAUUUUUUGAAAGAAAUUCUAAAAAAAUCUAUAUAUAUGAUCAAAAAGUUUCAUCAUAUUUUAAUACGUGGUCAAAAAAAUUUCUAUACACAUUUAACAUUUUUCAAAUGGUUGAUUAUAUAUGGUCAAAAUUUCUAUAUACAUAGAGAGAGAGAGAGAGAAAUUUAUCACUAUUUUAAUACAUGGUCAACAUUUUUAUAUACACAUUUAACAAUUUUCAAAUUCUUUUCAUAACAAUUAAAUACUUCUUUCUAAAAAAUACAAAUGCUUGAUUAACAUUUUCUAAAAUACAUGAUCAAAAAAUUUAUACACAUUUUCUAUACAUUUUUCUAAUACAUGAUAAACAUUUUCUCUAUACACAUUCGAGAUUUUUGAAAUCUUUGGUCAACAUUUUUUUAAAUGAUUUCACAGAUUUUUUUUCGUAAUUUGUAUAUUUAGUAUACACAAAAUCAAAAAAAAAAUGAAAAACAGAAAAAUGAAGGUUGUGCCACCCACGCUCCUAGGCCGGCUCAUGUUGGUCUCCCCUUCAACGAGAGGGUUCCGGGGAGCAACUAGUUAACGAGCAGCUUUGUCUAAAAAAAGCUAACGAGCAGCUUUGGGUGCUCCCUUUGGAAAUUUUUAUAUCUUUUUGCACGCGUUUUUGACUUUUUAAACGGUUUUUUCGACGUUUCAGUUAUUCGUCGGUCUUCCUUAACAUUUGGACCAAAAAAAAGUUUUCGAAAAAAAAAUUUGCGCGAGAGUCACGGUUUUUCUUCCGCGGGAGUCAAGGCCGUGCCUCUCGGAAACAAAAAAAAAGGUGUUUUCUGUUUUUUUUUCCGCGAGAGUCAUGGUUUUGUUUUCGCGAGAGGCAUGGUUGUGCUUUCGUGAGAGUCAUGGCCGUGCCUCUCGGAAACGAAAAAUCGCAUUUUUUGUUUUUUUUCCUUUCGCGAGAGUCAUAGUUUUUCUUCCGCGAGAGACACGGUUGUGCGUUCGCGAGAGUCACGGCCGUGCCUCUCAGAAACGAAAAAAAAGGCGUUUUCUCUUCUUUUUUUCUUCCGCUACAGGCACGGUUUCGCUUCCGCUAGAGGCAAGGUUCUGAUUUCGCGAGAGGCAUGGGCGUGCCUCUUUCAGAAAGGGAAAAAACCCGUACCCCCGGUUCGGUUUUUUCGUCCGGUUUUUUUGUGAAAAAAAGGUUCAUCAAAACCUAUCAACAUGGGAUCUAAUUUUAAAGAUCUCGACGCGAGGAAUCCAACGGUGAAAAUGGUUCGAGAUUUGGACGCACGGUUUAAGAGAUAAAAGGUUGUGAAUAAAUGAAUCUACGAAAAAGGGAAAACUCACAGGUGCGAUAAGUGGCGCACAUGCAGGACGCCACUUGUCACAACCUGGGAAAGUGGGAGUGAUCUUUACAACGAGUACUCCUCAAUUAGUGAUUUCGGAGGGUUCCUACCCUCUCGCUGAAGGGGGGACAUAGUCGCGCCCAUGUAAGUCUACAAAUAUUAACAAAAAUCUACUAAAUGUCUACCUAUUAGUUGGGCCAAGCCUGGGGCUAUAGCCCUAGUUGCCCCAGGCCCAAUUCCGCCCCUGAUUCCUGUUAUUAGCAUAUUUGCCUUUAUGGUUUGGGAAGUUCUGAAUGCUCAUUCCAUAUUCUCUUUUUUAUUUAUUUAUUAGCUUAUUCUCAGCUGAGUUGAAGAAGCAACCUUUAUGCUCCAAACAAGGAUGCGAAGGUUGUGUUAAAAAGAUGUUAAAGAAAUAAGCUUGAAGAAGAGCUAAAGAUUAUUCUUUUUCCAGUUUUUGUGAUAUUUGAGUUAGUCUUUGCACAAAAAAACAUAGAUUUUAUUGUGCAAAUAUUUUGCUUGAAUGUUUCUAAAGAAGAAGAAGAAGAAGAAAUUGAGUGGAUUGAAGAUGGAUGUCAUUGCAAUGACAAUCCCCUGAUAUUUUAUUAAAAGGAGGUGAAAUUACUCCCGAUUGACCAGAAUAAGCCAAGAAGCCAUUAUCUCUUCCUGCAAUUGCAUCAUUCUGAUGCAGAGGCCGGGGCCUUUCCUCCUUAAAAAAAAGAUCUCUUCCUGAAGUAACAUAUGCACACACAGUAAUCUCCCGAUUGUGGUUCAGUAAUUGAGAUGCAGAUCUGGCCUCGUACCUGAUACAGAUCUGGCUUCAUCUGUUGACUGCUCGGUGCUCCGGAGUGGCGCCUGUUGAUAUACUUCUCUUGGGAGGGGAAAUGGAGUGUAAAGUUGGUUGUAUUGGGGAGUAUAUACAUGAUACUAGUAUAUGAUACUACAUUCGUAAUGCAUAAUAUUAUAUGUUAGUAUCAUAUAGAACUAUAUUUAUUGCUAUGUAUGACAUAAAGUAGCACAUCAUUUAAUAUGAUACGGUAUCAUGAUAUUAUACUCAAGCCUCUACCACGUCAUCAAAAUUGCUUAGUUGGCAUGCAUAAUACUAUCUAUGAUACUCCCAUUACGACCGACUUAAUAGAUAGUAUGAUGAAGUAUUUAUUAGUAGCUCAUAAAGAAGGUGAGCGCAAAGCAUUUGGCUGUCAUCUGGUGCACAUGUGGCAUAUUGAUGAGGUGGAUAGGCUGCAUGUCAAGAGAAACCAUGUAGUGGGGAUGAACUAUUUAGAAUAUAUAGAUUAUAAGCAGCAGAGGAGCAGAACAUUUAAUUUGGCAACCUCUACUGUUUUACGAGAACAACAGACGAGUGAAUUGCAAAAAAACAUUGAUAUUGAAGGCUAGGUUUGCAAAAACCACAAGUCUACGUAAUUGUGCCUAAAACUACUAAUUUUUUUGUCUAAAUUUUGGCAAAAAACACUAGUUGAUGGUUUAGAUCGUUUUGAGCAUGAUUAUGACAGGUUAGUCCCACAAAUGAUGACAUGGUGUAAUGGUUCAAGUUAGACGCUGCUAGGUGAGGGUUUUUCUAGAUUUACAAAAUAGAGCCUAUAAUUUUACAAAGACCCCCUUAGUCAAAAAUAAAAAAAAGCAAUCAACUCCUUGAUUUGUCUACCCGAGAAGGCGGGUAGAGCAGCAUUACGCCGGCCGACCAUGAUUCUCGUCGCCGGCGAGGGAGCGCACUGUCAGACUCCACCCCCUCCUCUCUGCAGCAUGGCAGCCUCGCCGCUGCUCGUGCCCGUGUGCGACCGGCACGGCUGCUGCCCGCGCCUGUGCGCCCGUGCAGCAUAUGGCGGGUUGGCAAGGUGCGCCACAGAGCUCUGCCGCUGCUCGCGCCCAUGCACAGUCACCGCGGCUGCGGCUCGCGCCCGUGCAGCAUAUGGCGGGUCGGCAGGGAGGCUCACUGCAUAGCUCCGCCGCUGCCUCACGUCGUGCCCUCCACCACCCCCGCCCGGCACCAGCGCCAGCGAAAGCAGCUUCUGCUCUGGUGUCCGGCUCCCCCAGCAGCUUCCCUCCCGCAAAAGCUGCUACUGCUGGUGCUUCGGCGCCUGCGGCAGCUGCUGCUCCGGGGUGGAAGGGGGCAGCGCUAAGGGCACGUGACCGGAGAGAAGAGACGAGGAGGAGGGUUUGGUUGCUUUUUAACUUUUUGAAGAAGGGUGUUGGUCUAAAAUCCCCAUUGUGCAAAAAAUCGUACCGUGUGCUCUCGCUUCUUUUUCUGUACAAAAAAUCGACACCAUUUUAUACAAAAAACUAUGCAUGGUCAGGAUCAAACUAAUUGUGAACUCAUCUCAGGAAGCAUCUUGAAGCAGAGGAAGUAUCAUGAGAGCUUGAUUAACAUUGUUCUCCACAAGUCCGACUUUUCUACUUUCUUGAACCUUGCCCUCAUAUGAAAUACUCUCUAUAUAAAGAAAUAUAAGAUUAUUUAGAUCACUAAUGUAGUUAUCUAAACACUCCUAUACUUCUUUACGGAGGGAGUAUCUUAUAAAGCAUUGCAAGCUAGAAAAUAUGAAAUACACACGGGAAGAACAAAAAGAAUUACUACUCAAGCUGACCAACCAAACAGUAACAGGAAUAGGAGAUUUCAGAGUCCAUUCCAUUCGUAAAUAAUGGAAAAGCAAAACAUGGACUGUAUACAACAUUGGUUGCUUGUUUAAGUAGUACAGAAAUCCUAAUUCCACCUAGUCAGCUGCUAUCAGCUUAUAUAAAUGCAUGUACUCCCUCCGUUCCAAAAUAGAUGACCCAACUUUGUACUAAGUUAGUACAAAGUUGGGUCAUCUAUUUUGGAACGGAGGGAGUAGAUCCUAGGUUGUAAUCACCAUGAGUUGAAGAAAUAUAAAGAGGUAAUAUCACUGGGAGUCAUAGAACUUGCGCUCGAUAUUUAGUUUGGUGCUAAAACUUUGAAAAUACGGAUUUUCAGUCACUUAACUUAACUCAAACGUGCAUAUACCGUCACAAAAAGCGUGCGUGGACGUAUUAAUGUGUAUGACCCCACCUGUUAGCGAGUAAUGGUGCCCAGCCUAUGUUAUUUUCCAGAAAACACCUUGUACUUUUUAUUCGCGAAAAAACAAACCACCAAUGUACAGAUGAAAUUAACAACAAAAAGGGGGUGUGCCAGCACUCAACCCACGACCGAAGCUUACAAGAAAGACGAACCACUCCACCAAUCAAAUUAACAUGUCAUGUGUAGAUAAUAAACUUCCUUGUGUGUAUUGAAUGCGAAGGCAUGUGGAGCUAAAAAGGCUGCAGAUCGUGCUAUUUUUCUAAUAUAUUUGCAAAACGUAAGUAAAAAUUAUUUUGUUCAAAUAUUUGUGUGUUAAAAUAUUAUACAUACAGAAGAUGGUUACUAAAUAAAAAUAUGUAAAGAUAAACUUGUGUAUUCUAUAAAAAAAUAUUUAGUAAAACACAAGUAAUAAACAUUGGAGAGUUUGCAGAAUAUAAGUAAUAAAAUUAUGUUCAAAUAUCUGUGUGUUAAAACUAUUAUACAUACAAACAGUCAUUCGUAAAUAAANNNNNNNNNNNNNNNNNNNNNNNNNNNNNNNNNNNNNNNNNNNNNNNNNNNNNNNNNNNNNNNNNNNNNNNNNNNNNNNNNNNNNNNNNNNNNNNNNNNNNNNNNNNNNNNNNNNNNNNNNNNNNNNNNNNNNNNNNNNNNNNNNNNNNNNNNNNNNNNNNNNNNNNNNNNNNNNNNNNNNNNNNNNNNNNNNNNNNNNNNNNNNNNNNNNNNNNNNNNNNNNNNNNNNNNNNNNNNNNNNNNNNNNNNNNNNNNNNNNNNNNNNUGAUACAGACAUUGAAAUUCUUUAUUAAAUAAAUAUGUUUAAUGAUAAAAAAUAUACACUCACGGCUUAUAUUGAAAUUAUAUAAAAUGAUGACUAAAAACUUUAAAUUAUUACCUUUUUAAUUAUACAAACUUUUGUUAUAAUUCAUAAAUAUUAUUUUUAAUAUAUGAAUAUUUUUAAAUUAAUACAUAAACAAUUUAAUAGCUUGGUUAUUUUAUAUAUUUUUUGCACACCAGUAGGUCAUUUUAUUUGUAUGUACAAAAUUUGUACAAAAAGAAUAUCUAAAGAUUAUUUUUUUACUGAAAUUAUAAUUUACACAUUAUCUACAAAUUUCGUAAAAAAGAACUAGCGCAAAAUGGGCUGCACUGUCCAUAGCCCAUUUCAGCUCCAGGAGCGCAUUUAUUCUGUACAUUAAGAACCUUAUUCAGAUUAAACCUAUACAUUGGUAUGUUACUGUGGCUAGCGUGUGUUCUUUUCAGGAGCCAAACAUCUGAAAGUUAAUGGCGCAAUGGCUAUACUCUGUUUUCCUGGUAAUCUUGGUUGCUGGUUCAAUACAUGACACCACCAUUUUUUGUGUUAUUUUUCGUACUACAGUUGUUGACUUUUUUACGGAUAAAAAAAUUGCGAGGAGGUUUUGUGUAAAAAUGCAUCAUGGUGGUUGUCUUUUCCCAAGAGUAAAAAAAAAUACAAGGGUGUUUUUCCAAAAAUAACAUCGGCCACGCGCCAUUACUCACUGACGGGUGGGAUCGUACACAUGAAUACGUCCACAUACGCACCUUGUGACCAUAUGUGCACACUUGAGACAAGUUAAGUGACUGGAAAUAUGUAUUUUCAAAGUUCUAGCACCAAACUGAACAUCAAGCGCAAGUUUUAUGACUUCCGUUAAUAUUACCUCAAAUAUAAACAACAUGCAUAUUAAAUGCCAUUGGCUAUCCAAUCAGCUUUCAUUUAUGCUCUUGUGUUGCUAGUCGAUCAAUCGAAUCCCUGCUUUUUUAUUAAUAAUAAACGAUAAUUCCGUAAUUACUGAACUGGUAAACGACUGGUGGAAAUUGUGGAAAUAGGAAGGACGCGGUCUUUAAUGGCAUCCAAAGCUGGCCGUUGUUACUAACCACGUCCAGGUGUGGUCGCUAUUGUUAGCAGCGUCCCUAGUUUUGUUACAGCGCAGUCCCAAAUCCUCCUGAACUGACUGCCCCAAAGCUGUAUCAAGUCCUUGCUGUUGUAGAUUGGCGGCGCCGCCGCUAUCCCUCAGCCGGUAAUGGUGUUCCUCCAGCCUCCCUCACCGCCUUUAGCUCGCCGCUAGUCCCGCCUUUAGCUCUCCGCUAGUCCCACUCCCCAAUCCCUCACACCCGUUGUCUUCAGGGACAAAGCUAGAAAAAAUGUUUGAUGAGAUCGUGUCUAUGACAGUGGGGUCAUCUUCUGCAAAUAGAUAGUGAUUAGUACUAAGUUAGUGAAGGAUUUCUUAAUUUCAUUGGGGUCAAUUGACCCCAAUGCUUACAAGGGAGCUACGUCCCUGGUCGUCCUCGGUUGUUUCUCUCUGCUUUGGCACGACGAGGCUUGACUUCAAGUUCAAUCGUUUUUCUAUAAACAACUGGGUUAAUCUAUUUUUAAUGCACUGGAUUUGAUAGUACUAUCAAUUCCGCUUCCUAGCGAGUAAAACAACUUCAUCGGGUGUCCGCUUCCUAGCAUCACUUAUUAUCUCUGUUUUUGCUUCUACAUUACUAGCACAUAUGCCCGUGCGUUGCAACAGGAGAUACUUUUUUUGCGGAAGCAUCAAGAAAGAUAAUUGAUGUGUCCAUCAAAACGGUCUCCAUAGCGGUGGGGCGACAGAGCGGGGAGCUGCGGUGUUCUCGCAGGUCAUGUUUGGCCCGCGAGAUCUAGAUAGUGGUGGGGUUGGUCGGACUCGCGGCCACAACCCAGCUCGUACCUUUUUUUUUCUCCAGGUCCGCCUCCAUGUCAAGGUUCUGGUUGCCUGCUCACUUUUUGGCCGCUGUGACGAUCUUCAGGGCAUAGUUGCUUCAACCACUCUCUCCUACGAUGGCAUAACCGGAUAGAUUACUAAUAGCAGCGAAACACGUUUCAUUGGCAUAAUCAUCACAUAACCAGGUAGUCCUUAAUUUACCAUGGUGUAUUCUCUUCAAUUAUUUUAGCGCACACUUGCCCACAUUUUUUAUAUGAGCCAAAACAUCAUAUUCUCUUUUAUUGGUAUAUGCCCAUAAUUAUUUUUAAUUAUAGCCAACCAACACAUUCUCUCUUAUCGUCAAAUAGCACAUGUAAUGCACAACAGUUCACGUCUGGGCUAGGCCACUGGCAGGCACUAAAACGACCUACGUUUGUAAGGCGCGAAUAAAAAAAUAAUGAGUUGAAGGAUCAAACUCAUGAUCUCAAAAACUUGACCACGUGUUGCUAGCCAUUCGAGCAAACAACUCCUGCUAACCAAUGGCCAGCGUGAAUGUUUAAGAACAUACUACAACAUCACAUUCAAAAUAUUUUUUGAUUUUUUGAUCUUUUUUGAACUUUGAAAAAUAAAGUAAUUAUUAUGAAUUGCCGAAUAUUCUUUGAAACAUGAGCAAUUUUUGAAAUCCCAUUUUUUAAACGCAGGCACUUUUUGAUAAUUUCAUUAAUUUUUGAAAAAGACACACAAAACUUGAAAUGGAAAGAUUGUUUGAAAUUCAGAAUUUCCUUUGAUAACAUGCACAUUUUAUAAAAAAGGAACAUUUUUUGAAUUUGUGAACAAUUUUUUUAAACAGAAACAUGUUUUGAACAUUCAUUUUUUUGAAAAUAUGUUGCUUUUAACACGAACAAUAUUUUGAAUUUUCGAAUAUUUUAAGAAAACAGGAAUAUUUUUCUAAUUUGUAUUAUCUUUUAAAAUGCAUUUUUAAGUAUUGAAUAAUUUUGGGAAAUUAAAAUAUUUUUUGACAAAAUGCGAACAUUUUGUGAAUUUUGGCCAAAUUUUUGCGAAUAUUUUGUGAACCUUUUUCAACAUGGGACCAAAAUUUUGAAAUUCUUAAGAUUUCUGAAACUUAGAAGAAAAAUAAAAUUUCUGAACAAACUGAAAUUUUGAAAAAAGCAAAAUAAACUUGGAAUGAAAAAAAUAAAAUGGAAAGAGAAGGAAAAAUAAAUAGGAAAAAAGAAAUAGAACACAAAAAAAGAACGAGAACAGGCCGGCCCAAUCUUGGGCGCUCUAUACAAAGCUUUCACUAUUUGGUGCACCGUGCGGCAAAUAAGGCUUUGCAGCUUCAUGGCCAGGAACUAAAUGGCCUGGCGUCGCUGGGCCGUAGCACGCACGCCCAUGUACGGAGUUCUGGACAAAACAGUUUUUUUUAGCAGAUGAACGCAGAACAAUUGUUUUUAUUUUAUUUUUUUUGAACAUUUGAAAAAAAUAUGAAUUGGCGAAUACUCUUGUAAACGUGAAUUAAAUUUUAAACUGUGAAUAAUUUUCAAAAAAUGUGAACAAUGGUUUUCUGAAUAUUCAAAUUUUUUGGAAAAACAUUACCAAAAUUAGAAACAUUAAUAGUUUCUUAAAUUCACAGCCAAUAUUUUUAAAACAUGAAAAUUUUAUAAAAAUACAAUUAUUUUGGAAUUUUUAUUCUCUAAAAGGGGAACAUUCAAAACAAACUUAGAAAAUGUUUUCUUAGACGAAAAUAUUUUUUUUGAUUUGUAAACAUGUGACUAAACCAGGAAUAUUUUAAAAUAUGGAACUUUUCAUAAAAUAUGAUUCUUAUUAAUAAACCUCGAAGAUUUCGGAAAAACAUCAAAAAUUUAAAAUUGAGAAAAUUUCGAAACAGGUAUUUUUUAGAAGUUUCGAACAUUUUUCAAAGCAAGAACAAAAUAUCGAAUUCUGACUGAAAAGAAAUUGAAAUUAUCCAUAUUUUCAUUAAUUUUUAAUUGAUAGAAAAAAAUAAAAAUAAAGAGGAAAGAAAGGAGAAGGAAAUAUAAAAGAGAAAGUGAAAGGAGCAGAAAAAUAGAAAUAACAAUAGAACAUCGCAAAAGGAAAACGGGCCGGCCCAGUCUUAGGCGCCCUGUGGGCAGGUUCAACUAUUUACCGCUUGACGCGACAAAUAAGGUCUUCCCAACUGUGUGGGUAAUAAUAGGUGGGCUAGCUUAGUUGGGCUGGAGCGCGCGUGGCCCAAUGAUGAAAUUCUGGGUAACCUUUUUUUUCUAGUGGAUAGAUGCAGAAAAGUUUAGUACCACCUCGGAUAGAAAAAAAUAUUUUCGACGGUGAACGGAUGAAAAAAUUGGAGAAACGCACCUUGCUUUAUUAUAAUAUAAUAUAAUAUAAUAUAAUAUAAUGUAAUGUAAUAUAAUAUAAUAUAAUAAUAGCACAUAUGCCCAUGUGUUGCAACGGAAGAGAUAUUUCUUUGCCAGAAGCAAUCUGAGAGAUAAUUGAUGUAUCCACCAAAAACGAUCUACAUAGUGAUGCGAUGGAGAGAGGAGUUACAGUCUUAUCGUGGGUCAUGUUUGUUCUGCGUGAUCUUGAUAGUGAUGGGGAUAGUCGGCGGGCGGCAACCAUCCAACUCGUGCCUUUUUUUUUCCUUUGGGUCCUCCUCGGUCUCGGAAUUGUGUCUACCUCCUCAUUUGGUAGCUAUGCGGCGACCUUCGGGGCACGGUUGCUUCGACCACUCUCUCUUACGAUGGCGUAACCGGAUGGAUUACUAAUUGUACCGCAUAAAUCCCAUUUCAUUAGCAUAUUUAGCGCAUAACCAGACAUCAAUAUCCCUUCUUUUUGGGGUUUAUUUUCUUUGAUUAUUUUAGUGCUCAAGUGCCCACAAUUUUUUUAUUUGAGCAAAACCAACAUAUUCUAUUUUAUUGGCCCAAGAAAAAAAUUGCUCCCUCGGAUGACCAGUAGGGGAGUGCGGUUGAGGCCCAAUACUGCCUGUGUGACGGAGCAAUUUUUUCUUGGGCUAAUUGCGUGGGAGCUACUAUAUGACGCUUGUUGCAUAAAAUAGAGCGUAAGAUGCACGUCAGUUCGUGUAUGGGCCAACGCACUGGUAAGCUCCAAGACGACCCCUAUUUGUAAAGCGCUAAAAAGUUUAGAAAAUGAUGAGUUGAAGGAUCGAAAUCAUGCUUAAAGACCUGACUACGUGCUGCUAGUCACUCGAAGAAAUGAGUCCUACCAACCUAGGGCCAGCUCAAACCAUUAAGAUCAUGUCAGAUUGGAAACAAAUUUUGGUUUUUUGAACUUUAAAAAAAUAUAAGUUGCAAAAUAAUCUUGGAGACAUGAAUAAUUUUGAAAAUCCCAAACAUUUUUAGAAAUUCUUUACAUUUUCAAAAAUAAUAACAAAAUUUUAAACGUUCAAAAUUCUUAAUUGUAUUUGAAAACAUGAACCUUUUAUAAUUACAUGAACAUUUUUUGAGUUCGUGAUAAUUUUUCAAAAAAGGAAAAAUAGUUUGAACAUUCAGAAUAUUUUUUUAAAUGGGUUUCUUUCAACUUGAACGUCAUUCUGAAUUUGCGAACAUGUCACUAAAAUAAGAAUAUUUCUCGUAUUGGAACAUUUUUAAGAUGCAAUUUUUUUGGCAAAUCUCAGGAAACUUUGGAAAACACAAAGAAAAGAUGUAACAUUUUUAGAAAUGUGAACAAUUUUUUUAAUGAGAAAAAGAUUUAAUGUUCUGAACAUUUUUCAAAAUGGAAUGUAUUUACAAUUCUGUUUUUUUUGAAAGAAAUCAAUGUUUUCUGAUAGUAUGAACUUUUUUGAAAAUUUUGAAUUUACUAAAGAAAGGGAGAAAGGGACAUAAACUUAAAAAAAAAAGAGGAAACAAAAAUAGGAAAAAACGGAAAAAUAAAAAUAGAAACCUAACACAGAACAAAAAAUGAAAAUGGUUCUGCCCAGCUUGGGUGCCCUGUGUGAAUUUGAGACUAUUUUUGGAAUGAGAAGAAAGAUUUAUUGUUCCGAACAGUUUUCAACAUGAAAUAUAUUUGAAAAUUCUGAACAUUAUUAAAAAUUCGAAGUUUUAUGAUAUUACAAAAAUUUUGUAUUUACGAAAAAUGGGAGAAAUAAAAAUAAACUUGAAAGACAAAAGACAAAAGAAAUAGGAAAGAAAAGGAGAAAUACUGACGUUACUGGCAGAGACAAUAGUGAGCGGUCUUGGGGAGACUCUUCGUAUAGUCUUAGGGAAAUCUGAGGUGGUAAUCUAAAGAACUUACAAGCGUUGGAGCAAUGUUAGCUGGCCAAAGGAAGCAUCUAUUUCACCAACCAACCCACUGGAUGACAAGUUUCUGCAAGGAAGAUGGAACAAUCAUCAUACGUGGAACUGCACACACUACUCAUUUUACAUCGCAUAUAAUUAUGUUCUUUAGAACUCACAGGGCAGUUAUUCUUGGGGGACCACCGGGAAUGUAACUGCAAUCCAAACCAUACCAUGCAAAAGAUAUAGGGGCGCACGGAUCACCCACCCAGUUUCUCUUCACCGCAAACUUUGUCUGGAUUGUCAUCAUAGCAUUGGCUGAAGAUACCAAAUAAACGUGUAGGCGAAAAUGUACAUAUUCAGUUAUGCACAUAUCGGGAUGAACGAAACACCCAUGCACUAAAACUAAACUGAGCAGAAGAACACUGAAACUACAUUCAGCAGAACAUUAUUGAGAUGAUGUGGUAGAUACGUCCAAUUAUGCACUUAUGUGUGUAUUUAUAAGUUAAGAUCUACGUAAGUUAAAAUAUAGUGUGUGAAUUUAGCAUGAUUUCUUUUAAAUUCUACUAAUCAGAACCAAAUUUUUUUGGUUUUGAAUUCUCAUGAAAAGACUACUCCUUGCCUCAGCAGUUAAGUAGCACAUUAGUUUUGGUGACUUGACUGACCCAAGUAAUCUUACAUUCUUAAGAAGUUGAUCCCCACUACUAACAAUUCUCUCAACAUGCAGCCCGUCCACAUCAUCAUCUAGCCACCUCAGGAAUUUUCAUCCACGUCACUUCAUCUCUUCAUUAUAUUUUUUUCUUUUCCACGCUCACGUAGCAUCCCUUGCUGGCAUAUUUCCCCCUAAUGUUUUUUUACCAGUGCGUCGCUACCUCAGCCCACCAUCCACUAUGUACUUACAGUUAAUUCCCACUGUCCCACACGAUUCUAUAAGAUUAAUUGAGGAGGCAUUUGAGCGGCCGGCCGGAGCAGUGAUGUCGCCCAUAUUCAGAAGCCUAUCACGAUGGUUCACUUUCAUCUUCCCUAAAUAUACAUAUCUCCACAAAAUUUGCCUUCGAAGUCUUCAAAUAAAAACAGUUCCUCUUUGUUAAGCUUCAUGCACUAGCCAACGCAACCAAAAGUCCGAACUGAUGGAAAGGGCUAGUACAAUCCACAUAUACUGUAACACCCCCUCUCACGUGUGACGGGGAAGACAAGUCAACACGUGCAACCGGAAGAGAGCGACGGUGCGCGAAACUCACGUAUGACUCAAGAGGCCUCUACGUGGACACAAAGGGGGGCUAUCAGCAAUUUUUAAAUAAAUUGCGCAAACCAGGACUUGAACUCAAGACCUUAGCUUUGAUACCAUGUUAAGCUUCAUGCACUAGCCAACGCAACCAAAAGUCCGAACUGAUGGAAAGGGCUAGUACAAUCCACAUAUACUGUAACACCCUUCACAUCCUCGCCCCGAUGUACCUCACGAGCCCGACUUUUCUUUGGCGGCGUCCGUAUAUGAAGAUGCGGCGCCGGCUUGAGGGAAUUGGGCGGAGGAGACCUGGGGACGACGAGGUGGUUCCCUCAUCUCACAGAAAACCGAGCGUGUUCUUCCUCCCUCCCCUCUCGAGACUUGCGGCGGCUAUGGAGCGUGGGCACACGUUAGCAACGGAUGGAGGGCUGCAGCACCGGAUCGAGGUGAGUCCAUCUCCCGCUCUCUCUCUAUCUAGAUCCCUCUGGAUGGUGUGUGUGCUCCGCGCCGGCCAUGUGUGCGACCGGGAACGAACAAAUCAGACCUAGGUGGAUGUGACUAGAUGGCUGGAGGCCUUCGCCGCCGACCCACACAUCGGCACCACCUCCCGCGUCGUCUCCAAGUCCGUUUCCUGCUGAUUAGUUCUUCUUCUGUCUGUUGAUCUCAGUUAGUUCGUCCCUUCAUCAUCAGGCCAUCAGUCAUCACUACAGAUGGAGCAAGGAGGAGCAUUCAGCUGUACUUUCCACAGCCACUGAUUGCACCACGCAGGUCAUACGGUGCUUUGCAUCUGUGAUAAGAAUAAGAUUAAUCUGAUCUGAUCUGAUUACUGUUCUCAAUUUCGCUGGUUUCUUCAAACUGUUUGUUGCAGGAAUUGUCAGAAUGGAAUGCGAAAUAUUGCGACAAGUUUGGAUUUGUCUUCAUGAUAUGCGUGUCCAGGAGGACCGCCCCUGAGGUCUUUGCCGAGCUUAAGUUCUGCAGAUGUCCAUUCCAGUAGUUGAUUUCUGUAAUUGACGACAUGUAUGCCUGUUUGGGUUGUCAUCUCAACAAUCCUUCCAACAGUAUUUGGAUAUGCUCGCCUUAAAUUCCAAUAUGUGGUUUUUGUAAUUGACAUGUAUGCCUGUUUGGAUCAUCUCAACAAUCCUUGCAGCAGUAAUGAGUUUUUUUUUGGUGUGCUUAUGUGUUGUGUGCCGUUUGGGUGUGCGUGCGUGCACCGGCCGGUUGUGCUGGUGCUAAUCCUCUCUCCCAGUUGAUUCCAAGGCACUGUACUAAUCCUUCUCCUCUGUUUGUAGGUGCACAAAAGUCAGGCCACGACGUGGAGUUAGGCGGGGGUGGACUGGAGAACUUCUCUCUGUUAAUCCUGUCUUUCUCUCUCUUAAUAAGUUUAUCUAUGUACUCUCUGUGUUAACUGUGCGUGUGUGUGUGUGUGUGUGUGUGUGUGUGUGUGUGUUAAUCCUGUAUGAAGAAUCAACAUAAUUCUGUGAAUUUCAGACUUUGGGUGAAAGCAACGGGUUCAGUGGGCAUGCGUGACUAUAUCCUUCUGGUGCAUUUAAUAUAUGUAAUUGAGUGAACAAGUUGCAUAAUGAUAGUUUCCUAUUUUCUUUCUAUAGAGUUAUGUUAUCCAAUGCACAUAAUUAGUCAGAAGAGGGAGCUUUCUGAUGCAGGUACAACUAAACACUAUAUUUAGAAGACCAAAGCCGUAAGGAUCUAUCGGGACUAAUGACAUUUGUUUAUCUCCUGUUGUCGGAUCAAUUAAAGUAAAUGUACCUCGGUGUUAUGCAGAUUGCACACAAUCAAGACUUGGGGUUGUAGCUAGGUGUUCAAGUUUUAGCUGCAGCUUGAUAGUUUAUUCCACUUGCAGAGAGAGUGGAAAUAUUGCCUAAAGGUUUAACCAUUCUCUUUCCGAUUGUUCGUCUAUUGUCCAAGCUUUGAAUGAUAUAAGUUGGAGGUUUGAUCUUACUUACCUAUUUAUCAUUCUAAAGUAUGUUCAAAUAAGAAUCGUUUAUUCAUCAUUUUGUCCUUUUAGUUGAGUAGUUGAUGAGUAAAACACCAACUGUAGGCAAUAUUUUCCGCAGCAGCGCGCGGGGUAUCAUCUAGUCAAAUUAGAGCUACCAACAUAAGAAGAGGAUGCCAUAGUAUACCAUCUAAAGAUGCAGUAGUAGAUUCAUUCAGGGGCCACACCAUGAAUAUCUCCAUUGCGUUGAUCAAAGGCGGGAGCACAGAUUUUGAUGUUGCCAGGAGGGAGAUGCUGUGCUCGCCUGAGCCUUGGACAAUCGCUGGGAGAACAGUAGCAAUCAAGUAGGUUGGACUGAAUCCAGCAACUAAUUGGUUGUUGUCCACUGAUACAUCAACUUGCCUCAACCCUUGGACAGCCUCCAGCUCAGCAAAGUAGAGUGCAAGAGAGUACUUGGUGUCAACGCCAACACCCAUGGAUGCAUCUGCACUCCAGGAUAUGUCCAUCCUUGAACCAUUCACUGGAGUGGAUGCACUACGCAUCACUGCCGAUGGUGCAUCGUAGUUGUUGUUUGGAGAAUUCUGGACAGGCUCAUCCGAUUUGUUGGUUACAUCUGUCCAGCUGGGAACAUCUUGGUAUCUUUGCCACAUACGGUCGUAGGGGUCAUCUGGGAACCUUGGGUAAUUAUUAAAAGGAAUAACAUUGAGCAUGGUCAAUUUAACGUAAUAAGAAGAAGAAAGGAAGAAACAUUAAUUACAUAGUCUAUCAACCUAUCUAAGUAAUAACUUUGCUCAAUCUGCUCACCUAAUGUGCCCAUAGUUUGUUCCGAAGUGGUAGCGAUUGGGUCCAAAACCAACUGUGUCAUGAAAAAAGCUAAGCAAAACAAGGGCCUGUCCCACAUUGGCCUGCGGAUAAAGAUUUUCUUUGAGUGACCUCAAAUCAAGCCCUGAGAUGAAAGGUGUUCCGGAUCCUAUAUUCACCAAGCAAAUCUGCAGGAAGUCGGCAGGGCACAAAGCAAUUAUCUCAAACACAUACGCUGUACUAGAAUUGACAAUGGUCACUGUUGUCCAGUAGUUGGCCCCGAAGUAAAGAUCAAAGGUAGGAAGCCUAUUUAGCUUGUCAUAGUCACCAUAGCCAAAUGCAGCCCUAACAAGGUACUUGCCACCCGGUUUUAGGGACCGCAGUGUAUAGCAGUUACGUUCUCCGCUUGGAAAGAAGCGAAGAUUAUGGUACCGGUAUGCAAGGUCGGGUUGCAAAUUCUCCAUGUCAACAUUGUGGAUCAGUCCUGUAUCAGUGAAACCCUCAUCCCAUACAUAUGAUAUACCUAUCUUGGAAUCUGUGUAAGUCGGGUCUGUGGUAUAUCCACAGUCGAUGCUUAUGAAACCUGACAAAUGGAUAUGAAAAUGGAAUGGGUGUUAGGAUCUAAUAAAUGCAUAUUUUCUGACCCUGUCAACAACGAUCAUUGCCGUGCUACAAUUGCAAGCAACCAGACAAGCCUGAAAAAGUGAUACAACAUGGUUUUUUCAUGGAAAACAUAGUUUUGAUCUUUAAGAAAACUACAAACACAGCAGCAACAAACCCUUUCCGAAUCUUGCCCUUUGUCGUCUCGCUGCACCCAAUCACCUCCUCCUGUCUCACAUCACUAAUCCCGUUCAUGGCAACUGCCAAAACCCAUCUAAAGAUGGCAUAUAAGGUCCCCGAGUAAACAAGUUCAAUCUUGUUCCCCGUGCUUGUGGGGUAUCAUUUUUUUCAGUAAUAAUGGGUGAAUUUAUUGAUUUAAAAUAAAGCAUCAAGGGGACGCAAAUACAACGAGUCACCCUAGGCUUCUGCAUAUUUAGGAUGCAUAGAGCUAUAAAACACGUCGGCAAAAAGCAAAGUCAUAUAACACCAAACCUAUUCCUCGGCGGAGGAAAAGGAAAAGGAAACCUUUGGCAGCAUGAAUUUCCUUGCUAAUAUUCUUCCUGUCACGGGAAGAUUUACCACGUAGACAAAAUAAUUGGUGCAAGCUAGUCAAGAGAGAAGGGAUGUUAUUAGUCAGUUACCGUGACUGUCAAGCUGACCAUGGAUGCAAAUGGAGCUUAAAGACGUCGUAAACAGCAACACAACCAUGGUCCAGCGACGCACUGCAUGAUCCACCCAUUGUGAAGGCAUAUGGCACCCCAAUUACAAAUUCGCCAAGACCCAACCUCACCGUUUAUUUAUAUAUAGUAAGAGAGACAAUGGUAUAAUGAAACAGGACGGAGUCUACCAUAUAUAGAAGGGGUGACCCAAAGAAGCACACAUCGUAAUCCUCUCCUCAAACAGUAUGGCGCCAAACAACAACUAGAGUUGUUUGGGCAAUCCAAUACAACAGUGGCAAAGAAACAUUUUCUUUAUCCCCUUCUUUAUGCAUCUGUGGACCAACAGCUAGUACGUAGCUUGUGAUGCCACAGCUAAGCCAGUAUGCAUAUGUGAAACAUUUUCCUUAUUAUGCAUAGGCCAACCGAGAGCAGAGCCACCAGACACAACACCAACACCGCACCAUGCCGACAAGGAUGCCACCCGAGGUCGCGAGCCACAAUGGUUCCAUGUCGCAGCUCUAGAUUCUCACGGAUGCGAAUGCCAGGGAUGCCAAGGAUGACGUACCAAGCACACCACCACUAGAUUCUCACGGAGCACCGUCGGGUUUCAGCCCCAAAGCACACAGAGGCUCUAAUGAGAUGGGCACAGCCGCAACCCAACCUGUCGUCGAGCCUUGCAUCCCAGGCGCCGCGCGCCGUGGCUCCACGCGCUGCCAUGGAGCACCUGGGACCGGCCGUCGUCCCAGCAAGCCCCCAACCUCCUUAGCCGAGGCAUAUCGUCGCCGCAGGUAUUUGAAAAAAUGUUGAUCGGGCAUUUGAAAACAAAAUAUUGGACAAGUAUUUGAAAAAAUGUUGAUCGGGCAUUUGAAAACAAAAUAUUGGACAAGUAUUUGAAAAAAUGUUGAUCGGGCAUUUGAAAAAAAAAUGUGGAACAAGUAUUUGAAAAAAUGUUAAUGAAGCAUUUGAGAAAUGUAAAAUUUGUAUAUAAAAAGUGUUGACCAUGCAUUAAAAAAAUAUUGAUUGUUUUAAUCAUCUAUAUAAUUUUUUUAAUCAAUCCUUUAGACAAUGUUGAACAAGUGUUUGAAAAAAUGUUAAUCAAGCCUUUCAAAAAAUUUAAAUGUGUAUAGGAAAAAUGUUGACCAUAUAUUGGAAAAAUAUUAGUCUUUAUAUUUCAAAAAUUGUUAAUCAAGCAUUUUAAAAAAUAUAUAGAAAUGUUGACCAUGUAUUAAAAAAAUGUUUAUCAAGCAUUUGAAAAAUAUUAAAAAUGUAUAAUAGAAAUAAUGCUUUUUUGCAGAAGUAAUAUAAAAAAUGUUGGUCACAUAUAAAAAAUGUAUAAUGAAAACCAAAAGGUAAUAAAGAUAAAACCAAAAAAAGGAAAGCGAAAAAUAAACAAAAUAAAGAAAAGAAAAAAGAAAAUGCAAAAAAACUGAAGAAACAAACUGAAAAAACCGGGGAAUAAAAUGAAAAGAAACAAAGGAAAACAAAAAUAAAAAAAGGAGAAAACCGGUGGUGGCUAGCUGCUUCAAGUACGUCGAGCCCCCUUUAGUUAACACGUGGCAUGUAGGGCUGCAUGAAAAGCUCGAGGCUCAUGAGUCGCUCGAGAUCGACUCGUAUUUUUGCUCGACUCGAGAUCGACACGAAAAGAAAUGAGCUGAGUAUGAACGCUUUAUGCAGCUCGAUCGAGAAAUGAGCUGAUCUUGAGUCAACAAUGGCUCACUCGAUUUUAGCUCGAUAGCCUGAGAUAAUAUGAUAUAUUACAUAACUUUUGAUAUAUAUUGAAGAUAAAUGGGACAAUCUAUUACCAUAUAGAUAGUCAAAAAUAAUUUAUUACCAUAUACAUCGUCUAUGAUUUUCCAUAGUUUUACCUACUACCAAUCGUGGAAAAGUAAUUAACCAUAGAGAAAAUUUAGCCCCACUAUGGUAUGUGAUCACCAUGUGUUAAAUAUAUGGAGUAUGUACAGGUCACCUUCUCAAAGAGUUGGAAACCAUUGUAGUAUUUUUUUUGCAGCCGUUGUAGGGUUUUUGACGUCACAGGGCUUGUCCUUUUGGAUCUUCUACUGGUGGAGCUGGCACUUUUUGUACAUCCAUAUUGUGAGCUGAAAUUUCACUGGAAUAAGAGAUAAGUGAGUAGAUCCAGUUAGUGCUUAAUAAUAAUUUCACAUAAAGACAACAAAACAAAAAUACGAGAGAAAUAUCUCACACUAGUUCACCGAAGUUUUGCUUUGGUGGCAUGUCCAGCUCAUCUAAACCUCUCUCAAACAUUUCAAGAACUCUUGUUAUAGUAGGGCGAUAUAUUUGUAAUGCUUGUAUGCACCACAAUCCCACUAAGGUCAUUUUUCUUGCUAUCUCCGCAGUUUCACUUGUUACAUCACAUGCUUGCAUACCUUCAUCCUGAGUAAAAUGGUCAUAAAUCCAAUUUGUGAAAUACUUUUCGUUGGACUUUGCAACAAAUCAUUUUACGUUUCUCCUUCCUCCGACCAUCUCCAACAGCAUCAUUCCAUAACUAUAAACAUCUGACUUGGUUGAAACCACUCCGAAGGUUGGAGAGUGAACUUCUGGAGCGAUGAAUCUAAUUGUUCCUCUAGCACCAGUCAUUGAAACCUUGCUUUCUUUUGUAUGACACAAUUUAGCUAGACCAAAAUCAGCAAUUUGGGGGCUAAAAUCCUUGUCUAGAAGGAUAUUUUGAGGCUUUAUGUCGAAAUGCACAAUGCGCGUAUUACAACUAUGGUGCAAGUAUUUGGGACCACGGGCAAUCCCGAUUGCUAUUGCAUAGAGCUUAUCCCAUCCUAAAAUUUCCAUGGGGUCCUCUGAGUAAAUGAACUUAUCUAAGGAAUUGUUGGACAUGUACUCAUAUAUAAGAGCUCGUUUUGAUCCCUCCAAACAAAACCCAAACAAGCUAACAACAUUGACAUGAGAAGUCCUGCCAAUGCUCAUAACCUCAUUCACAAACUCGCCCCCGUUUCCUUUGCACUCAUGCAAGACUUUCACUGCUACUAGACGGCCAUCAAGUAGCGUUCCUUUGAAUACCACACCAUAACCACCUUUCCCAAGCUCAUUGCUGCAAGAGGAUGUUAUCUUCAUUACCUCUGAGUACAUGUAUCGUUUUGGAGCUAGGGAUCUAUACGAUGCAAUCAUGGCCUCAUAAUUAUUUUCAUUGUUUCCGCUAGUCUUCUUGCAAAGGAGAAACCAUAGUAUUCUUCCUUUUCUAUGCCAUACCAGCACAUAAAUACACGAGAAUAGAAGGUUGCAACAAUUGAUGUCAAAACUGAGAAGAAAGGAUAUGUUAAUUCCUUUUGUAAACUAGAGGCCAUAGUACAGUAAUUAUGAUUUCCAAGACCAUCAGUAGUUUAAUUUUUUCUUUAUGCAACAUUGUGUGGUGGAAAAAGGUAUUAACAAGCUAAAUUUCAUAAAUUCUUGCAUUAGGCAUCUCCAACUCUGACUCAUAAAUCGUACACCCUAUCCGUCCGCUGAACGUUGGGGACUAGUCCACGAAGAAUGAUGUGGGAGGGAGCCAUCCAACCCUUAAUCAAAAGAACCCCGUUUGAAUUGUCCGGCUGUGAGGAGAGAUGUGAGGAGGGACCAAUCAUGUGGUUCCUUUUAGUGGUUAUGUGUGUGUGGUUUUCGGUUGGGAGGAGAGAGGGGAGAGAGAGAAAAGAGAGGAGGUCCCCACGUGGUUGCCUUUUUGUUGGUACAAUGGAUGUCCGGACAACCGCAUAGCAGCCCCCCCCCCCCAACCACACACACAAGUUCCUUUUGGUUAUAGACGUUUGGAUCGCUCCAUGGACCAAGGGGUCCCCAUUGGAUGGCAAAAGUUGCCCGGACAUUAUAAUCUCGACAUAUACCGGAACUUUGAGGGUUUUCUUUAGAGAAGCCCUUAUUCACAGAUUGAGAGCUGCUUGUCUUAAAUUUAAUUUUAGAUUCACUUUUUCAUGAUUAUAGGCAUGAUAAAUUUUGAAUUUACCAUUUCACCAUGAAAAACACUAUUCAUGGACUACUGGUAUUUAAAUCCUCUGUGUGUGAAAAUAUGGUGAAAGUUUUAGCAUACCUAUUAUCAUAAUCUUUGUGACGGCCCUCCCGGUACCUGGAAUAUGACAUGACAUUUAUGAGUAAAACCUCUGUUGUCCAAUAAUAGUACCCCCUCCGUUCUUAAAUAUAAGACGUUUUGGCAGUUGAAAUUGAACUGCCUAAAUGUCUUGUAUUUAGGAACAGAGGGAGUACAUUGGUUGUUUUUUUUCAAAAGAAAGAGAUAGGCGUAGUAUACGAAUCUUCAAUAUUUUGCGAAUGAAAUAUGUAUGGAAGAAAUAAAUAAAUUUCAGUGGGGUCCCGAAUUUCCAGUGGGGUCCCGAAAGUCGUGAUGGGCUAGGAGGACGUAGCCUGAAUUCAGAUAUCGAGCCUGAAUUCAUUCGCAAAAAGGGCUUGAAUUAUAAUCCUCCGUGCUUAUUGAGUCUAAAGUUCAAUACUAUGAUAGGUUCUUUGUGCAAAUAUAUAUUACAUGUGUAUAAAGGUAAGCUUUGCAUUAUCCAAAUGGUUCAAGUAUGCCAAACAAAUUGCUCAAUGCAACCCACUUAGAAAUAUUUUAGUUGACCAUUUAAUUUGACCACACAACCACAAGUAUGCCAUAGAGUUAAUGUAUGUUUCAGAAAAUAGUUAAACACAAGCAUGCUUACUAAGAAAUGCAUUAUCAUAUCAUGCACUGACAUAUAUCAACAUCUCUGAAAAACUUGCAGAAGCAAAAAUAGAAUGCAAUAGAAUAAAACUUAUUGUUGAAGUACAAGGAGACAAGUUCAUAUCUAAAGUCAUCACCUACAUGUAGCCGUAUUGGCAUCACAAUGUUGGUGAGGGUAAUCUUCUAAAACAAUGUGGGUAACAACCUAAAAGGUAUUUGUAUUGUUUAAGGAUUGGGUGAUGUCAAGAAUAUAUCAUGAUGUGAAAUUAGCACAAACUUUUGGAAUUUGCUAAAUCAAGUCAAAGAAAAGUAACUUAUGUAGUAAGCGUUACGCUGACCUCCAUGGCUAGCAUCUACCUCCAGAUCAACUCCCGUGAAAGGUUGCCUCGGAGUACUUCAGCUCCCCCACUGCAAUCACAUCAUAUUUCUCAUGAAAACCAAGUUAUAAACUCAUACUUCAAAUACAUAAAAAUUGGCCUGGCAUGCACAAACUACAUUUAAAUUAAGCCCAAUGCCACUAAUAAUUGUAACCUCUAUAUCAGUAUACAGGCCGAGUGGUAAGACAUAUAGCAAUAUCAUAAGUUGGCAUGGANNNNNNNNNNNNNNNNNNNNNNNNNNNNNNNNNNNNNNNNNNNNNNNNNNNNNNNNNNNNNNNNNNNNNNNNNNNNNNNNNNNNNNNNNNNNNNNNNNNNNNNNNNNNNNNNNNNNNNNNNNNNNNNNNNNNNNNNNNNNNNNNNNNNNNNNNNNNNNNNNNNNNNNNNNNNNNNNNNNNNNNNNNNNNNNNNNNNNNNNNNNNNNNNNNNNNNNNNNNNNNNNNNNNNNNNNNNNNNNNNNNNNNNNNNNNNNNNNNNNNNNNNNNNNNNNNNNNNNNNNNNNNNNNNNNNNNNNNNNNNNNNNNNNNNNNNNNNNNNNNNNNNNNNNNNNNNNNNNNNNNNNNNNNNNNNNNNNNNNNNNNNNNNNNNNNNNNNNNNNNNNNNNNNNNNNNNNNNNNNNNNNNNNNNNAAUGAAAGUAUACAGACUACAUGUAUUUUUUGCAAAAUAUACAACUACGUAUACAACUACUAAGAAUAUUCAAAACUGUAAAUCUUGUAACUUCCACUUGUCAACAUUAUUUGUCCAUAUUGAUUCCUUCAAUGCAAAGCAUAGGCAUAGUUGGCAUGGUCAUACAUUCUACAUGGGAUAUUGAAUUUUAGAUUCUUUCCGUAUGCGUAAACAGUACCGAAAAUAACGUCCUUUCCUAAAAGAAAAAUAAAUGAAAUAGUAACAUUUGAUAGGCACAAAUCAGCAAAGUUGACAUAUUCUGUACAAUUACAAGAAUAGAAGAACCUUGGAAUAUAUUGCUACAGUACAGAAAAUAGCUUCCUUUCAUAAAAGAAAAAUGGAUAAACUCUUAACACUUGAUAGGCACAAUUCUCAAAGUCAAGAUAUACUAUACAUGAAUAAAAAAAGGUCUUCACAUGUUAUUUUCUUCAGACAAUCGAACAUAUCUUGUACGUACAUUAAUAAAAUAAUAUAUUCACAUUUAUUUUCUUUAGCCAUGUGAUCAACUGAAAUAACAAAGUUUUUCCGUGAGCAUUAUUCGUGUGAAUCCAAAAUUAAGCAUAAUUAACAAUCUCACAGCCGUCCAUGAGAAAUUUGUGGCACAUAAAAAAAUUGUGGGAGGGGGCAGGGGGUGCUCACCGUGGUCCUCCCAGCCGCAGGACACCACCACUUUGUGGAUCUUUCUCCCACCUGCCUCACGAAUCCACACGAACCAGCGGCAAGGUGUGCGUGUGUGCUCAUAAUCCACACCAACCAUCUCGAGUUUCUGCAAUAUUUUUCAAAAUUAUGAAACAUAAAACUAAAGUUGCAUAAGCUGGCGAAUAUAUUAGACAUAAAAAAUCUUGUAACAAAUUGAAUAUAGUUUUGAGCCUCUUGUUUGGUUUCAUCUAUACGCCGCAUUCAACAUGGAUCAGUAUAUGAAAUACCCAUUAGCUUGGACUAAUGAGUAUCUAGAGCAUGUGUGUAAUCUGAAAUGAAUCGAGGGCCAUCUGAAAAUUUAACAGGUAAGCUUGAUCAAAAAAUACUUACAUGAAUCAAGAGACAUCUUCAAGAAGGCCAAAUAAGCAUAUACAUGCCAGCAGGAUUCAGAAAACCACAGAGGAGACGGCGGCCAGGGAGAAAACAGGCACAUGAGUACAGUACAGACUAAUGCAAACGGGCAGAAAAUCUAUGCCUUCUGGUUGACUGGACUGUGUACCUCUGCUGCUUAGAAAUUGGAUAUGUGUAGAGAUGGCAAUACAACCAGGAACCCAAUUACUUGAACUGAAGAUCAAAUAUCCACAUUAGAAUCCCCAUAUGCGAAACUGAAUUUGCAUAGUAUAUACAAAUAGUUACAUGACUAGCGUGUAAAUUAGUACUGUGAAGUAGGAGUUCAACCACAGUACCUUGUACCAAAAAAACAUACAUAUGAAAUGAAAGGGAAAGGGAAACAUGGAUGCUUACCAUACUGGUCACCGGCCAACGAACACAAGGCGAAGACAAUGACUGCAAAAAUUGAUAGAACCAGAGGGAUAAUUCUACUGCCUGGUUGUUGUUAAAUUCAGAAUGGGCGUUAGCGGCAUCGUCAUGAAGUGAAAUGGAAUCAGAUGUGUAGGGCAGAGUUUCGCAAUAUACCUUAGCCUUGACCUUCUCCCUGCGGCCAGCUGUCAAAUGCAUCGAUAGCCGAGACAUUGAACUGGAAUCAGGACGGGAGAGGUCUUGACCGCGCCGUUGUCGUCGCCUGCCCGUUACCUUCAAGGACGUCUUCAUCAAGGGUUGUCCGCCGCUGCCGCCGCCUCAAUAGGGUUGCGAGUGUAGUGCUGCCACUUCGCAUGUUCCUUACGCAUCGGCGGCAUCUCGCUCAAGCUGGCAGCACAUCAAUGAUUCACCCUCGGUCAUAAGAGGGAAGGGAUCGGGAGGGAUGGGGUUUGGGGAUGAGUGGAAACGACGGCUGCAAGAGUAGCAGCGGCCCAUAGGGAGUAGGAGAUAAGCAGAGGCGGCGGCGGCGUACCUGGGGAAGAGGAGACCUGCAUCGUCGUGCCUCCUUCUCUCGUACUCUUUUUUUAGGCGUCCUUCUCUCGUACUCCUUUUCUCCACAUCGUGUCAAUUCGCUUAGUGCAGGUCUGUAAGGAGGUUGUUAGAGGCCCAUUAGGCCCAAUUUAUAUGGAGCGCCCAAAAAAGCGAUGGGAGCAGCGGCCCAGGAUGGUUAGCGAUCGUUAUUAGCGAACAUAGCCGGAUUCGGAGCGAUUCACAGCUCAUCUAACAGCCAAAAAUGCUUCAAACUGACAAUCAGACGGCCGGGAGCGAUGAUGCCGGAGAGGGCUGGAAAAGUGCUCAGUUUUAAUAUAUCAAAAUAGAAAAUACCGGAAGCAACCGCCCCCCCCCUUGGGACAGCCCAUGUGGAUUGCCUGGGCACCCUUUUGUAUUUCAUUUCUGUUUUUUCGCAUCAAUAAAAUUUGACAUUUUCAAAAAGUUAAUAAAUAAAAAAAAUUAAUGAAUAUGAAAAAAAUGUUCAAAGAUUUCACGAAAAUGUCUGCUGAUUCAAAACAUGUUCACGCAAUUCUCAAAAUGAAGAUUUUUUGCGUUUGAUGAACAAAUUUUGAAUUCGACGAAUUUUGAAGUUGAUGAACUAAUUUUUAAUUGGAUGAAGAUAUUUCAAAACUUGAUGAACAUUUUUUAUUCAAUAAAUAAAUAUUUUAUGGACAAAAUUUUAUUGUGAUGGACAUUGUUGAAAAUUGAUAAACAUCUUUUUAUAUUCGGUGAACAAGUUUUGAAUUUGUUAACUAAUAUGUGGAUUCAAUGAACAAAAAAUGAAUUCGUUUGACAUUCGGUGACAAUUAUUGAAUUUGAUGAGCAAAAAUGAUCACUUUUUGAUACAAAUGUUUUUGAAUUUGAAAAGGCAAAUCGGAAAAUUAAGGAAAAUGUAAAAAAGAAAAAAAGAAAAAAAGAAAAAAGGAUAAGAAAAUAGUAAAUAAUUAAAAAAGGAAGGAAAAACUAAAAAAAACCCGGUUUGGGAAGAUUCUAGAAACCUUCCCAAUACCAGGAAAUGGAUUGUGCUUGGACCGCUCAGAUGAAGGCAGUGUGUGUGUGGUUCUCAAACCCGGUCUAGGAAGAUUCCCCGAUGAUCGCUCCAUGACGCCCGGUCUAGGAAGAUUCUCUAAUAAUCGCUCCAUGGCGCCGUGAUUAUUAUAAGCAAGACCCUUGGUUAGCGUUUUAGGGCAAAGACAUGAGAAUGCGAAUGGAUAAGAGAUCAUCGGCUAACGAAAGAGCUUCCCAGCAAGCCAUCGCCUCAACUAUAGGGACAUCUAAUGUACCAACAUCAGUAACAGCAAACAACCACAACAGCUCCUAUGAUUCCUUGUUUGAACAUCGUUUCGUCAAUGUUCAGUUUGAUGAUGCUAGCUGGAAGUUGAUCCAGGGUUGGCGUCGGGGACCUUGCUCCAUAUUCCUUGCAAUGCUAGGCUUGGCCUUUGCAAUGACCUCUAGUUCCAAGAUGAAAUGCUUAACAAUCAGGUGUGACACCCGAGGAGAUUGAAAGACUGACUCAUAGAUAGCUUUACCGCGAGCGUGCUAGAUGUCCCAUGGGAUGACUAUUACCCUUCAUGAGGUCAGCAUGCGAUAAUGAAUUAUGCAUGCUAAGCAGCCAAAGCUUUGCAUUUUCUUCCAUUUGUAAUGAUCAUAUGCUCUAACACCUCUUCAUGGCAUACGUGGUGCAUAUGGAUAUUGGUACGGCAAUAACAUGGGAUGGGGAACAAAAAGAGCUCCUAAUCGACGUUCAGUGCACCAGUUAAACGAACGGGAGUUCACGCGCGUCUCUCGCAUGGGCCAUAUCAAGACAUGAGCCGCUCGCUCACUCGCUCGCAUCCCAUCCGCUUCCUUGGAUUGUUUUGAUGGUUGACCGGUUGACAGUUGAUCAUCCGAGCAUUGACCAUAGACUUUCCAGAAAAACAUAGAUUCGAAAAAGUUUGAGGAUUUGUACAAAAAAAUUAUCGUGCAUUUCAAAAAAUAGGGCUGAUUUUGAAAACAAACCAAUGCAUUUGGAGGAAGUUGGAAAAUUUCAAAAGAUCAUGUAUUUAAAAAAAUACACAUGUUUUUUUAAAUUGUGGAUUUGAAUAAUUUUUAUGAAUUUUCAUAAGUUCCUGGAUUUUUUAAAUGUUCAUGGAUUUGAAAAAAAAAUUGCGGAUUUAAAAAAGAUUUAUGGAUAUGAAAAAAGUUGACAUAUUUGAAUAACGGGCAUGGAUUUGAUUUCUUUUACAAACUUUGCAGAUAAAAAGAAUUCACGGGUUUGAAAAAUGGUUCGUGAAUUAGAGAAAAGAAAAACAAAACCCCCCAAAAAAAUCAGAAAAUAACCAGCCUACAAAAGGUUCCAUAAAAACCGGUAAAAUGAAACUAUAUGGGGCAGCCCACUAUGGACGAUCGAGUGUUGCAGCGUGGGCGCUGGGUACAGUGUAGCCACAUAUAUACCACUUGUGUUAAUUUACUUAUCAUUUCCAAAUCCAGGCGAAUCACUCACACGAUCAGACCACAUGUGAAGCUGCCUGCAACAUUUCCAGAGUGAGGUUUAGAAAAAUCCAUAAUCUUUAUCCAAACUUUGGCCCCGGCACCAUGUGCGGAUCUGGCAAUUAUAUAUUACAAGUUGUUGUAUUCCCUGUGGACCUGCACACAUAUACCACUUGCAUUAAGUUUACUUAUUUCCAAAACCAGGCGAAUCACUCGCACCACAGCACACCACACGUGCAACAUUUCCGGCCGGAGUGAGGUUUAAAAAAAACUUUGCCCCCUGCAUCAUCUGCAGAUCAGACGAUUAUAUAUUAGCUGUUGUCUUCCCCAUGGAUCUGCCUCACCAACCACCCCGAUCGAGAGUGACUAUGUAUGCUUAACUGCAUGCGUCGAUUGACUGUGGGAAGGAAGGAACGCGAGAGACGGAGCUUAGAACACAAGGAACGUGACGCGAGGAAGAAGAAGAGAGAGAGAGAGAGACAUGGGGGAGUUGGUCGAGGUCGGCAGCCUAGAGGCAUGGACCACCCACAUGGCGGAGGCCAACAGCAGCAAGAACCUGGUAUGAAUCUGUUGGUUUCUUUCUUCUCCAUUUCUUGUGUUCCCUUCUCUACUUCCUUGCAGUAUAUCGCUUACGCGCAUGCAUGUAGGCUCUGCUCUUUCCAUAAACCGGUCAAAACAGUCAAGAACCACUCCAAGGUUGCUUUUUGCCCAGUUUUGAAAGUUGAGGGUUGUAAAUUAGACGGUUUCGUAGUUCAGGGUUGUGGUUUAGGCUACGGUGGUACACUAGUAGAAAACAGGGCUAUGGUUCCGGGUCAAAUUUCACAUUAGUCCCGGUUCAAUCACGAACCGGGACUAAUGUGAGCAUUUAUCCCGGUUCGUGCGGCUAAGGCAUUAGUCCCGGUUCACCUGUGCCCUUUAGUCCCGGUUUGUGCCUCAAACCGGGACUAAAGGGUGUGAUGCCCAUUAGUCCCGGUUCAUGCCUCAAACCGGGACUAAAGAUUAGACCUUUAGUCCCGGUUUGAGGCACGAACCGGGACUAAUGGGGUUGAGACCUUUAGUCCCGGUUCGUGCCACGAACCGGUACUAAAGGUCCCAUUUUCAAACUCUACCCCACUGGAUCGCCUUAUCAAUUUAAAAAAAAAAUAAAAGAAAAUGAUGGAAAUGUCAAAAAAAUAAAAGAAAAUAAAUUUCCCAUGUGAUAUGUGGUCUAGUUGUUGGGAAAAUUUGCAAAUGUGAAUUUUGACUUUAUUUGCAAAAUCUCUCUGGAAUUUGUAAAUAUGGGCAUAACUUUUGCAUACUAACUCGGAUGAAAAAGUUUUUUAUAUGAAAAAUCAUCUACUCGAAAAGUUACAUCCAAAUUUAACCCCGUUAAACAUUUUCAAAAUCCUCAAAAACCUAACAGAAAAAAAGUUACGGGGUUUUUAAUAUCUAGAGUGGAAAAAAUCGAAAAAAUUUCAAACUGUGGUCAAAUAAUGGUCAAACCAUGGUCAAACUAAUUAUUCUAGAAUAUUAGUGUUACUAAAUAAUUUGUUCAGUUAUUUUGAAUUUUGGUAAAAUCUGGUCAAACUGUGGUCAAACUGUGGUCAAACCAUGGUCAAACUAAUUAUUCAAAAUAACUAUUGUUUUCUAAAUAAUUAUUGUUUUUGAAAACAAUAGUUUACAGAAUAGGCAAGGUCAUCGAAGACCGGAGAAAUGGAGCGGGAUGGUGCGCUCCAUUUUGCACUGAAGUAGAUCACCGCCUGUUACAAGAAGAAACAUGUCAACAUAGAAAUGUGGCACUGUUUACAGAAUACCGUCUUUGCAAAUGAGUCUUAUUUAUUGCGCUAGUUAACAAUAUAUCUAUGUGACAAACAGUCAAUUGCUGAGGAGUUCGGUGUUGAGGCCAUGCCGACCUUCCUGUUUAUGAAGGAAGGAAAGGUUGUGGACCAGCUUGUGGGAGCUUCCGAGUAUUUGCUGGAAAAGAAGAUGAAGCAACACACGACUGCAUAGUGGGGUAGUAUUUACCUAAAUAUUAAGAAUACUAGACCCGUAAGGGUUUCAUUUUUCUGAUUUUUUUAAAAAUGACACGUGUGAUGAGGUAUUUACUGGUUGUUAUCUUUUGCGUGAAUUUUGAUCUGAUCGGUUUCCAUCACGUGUGUGUUUUCCCUAGGAAGUUGCCGCUUUGACCAGAGUCUUGAGAUAUUUCUUUAGUUCCUAUAUCUCUCUUCCACCUGUCCUGCUAGGCUGCUACCUUUCUUACGCGUGCCCCGUUACAGAAGGCUCCAGACAUAUCGAGGGCACGGUUCGAUCCUUCUCGCUAAGCGCUCCACCGCCUAUAUGUAUAUAUAAAUAUAAAUAAAAAGGCUCAUCUCAUUCCCAUAGAGGCCACCAAACAACUAUCAACUGUGCCGUCGGAUCCCUGCCGCCGGGGCGACCAUCAACCACCACAUCGUAGAAUCGCAGCCCACCCCAUCGCCGGAGAUGAGGCGCCCCAAUCCACCUUCCAUCAGCUCCCCGUGCGCUCGCAGCGCCGAGUCCUACCCCCGGUGGCCCGGUCGUGGGAAGGACACGCUCGCCCCUCAAAGACAUCUUCCUGGUGUCCCCGCAACGGCGAACGCAUCUGUGUGGUGCAGGGGUUCUUCAGCUUCGGACGCGGGCCUCUCGACGAGGAGUACGUCUCCUGUUUCUCCUCUCACGGGGCAGUGCAUAGACGCGGAGUUUUGUUUGGCGAGCGCAACUAUCGAUGAGAAACGGCGAGGCAACUCAGCGGCCAGGUAACCAUAUUCUUUCUCUUGUGGUCGAACUCUCGAUUUGACUCGCCUCCAACUCUAAAUCUCCCUUCUGGCUCUCCUAGGUCUUGCUGCAGGGUAGUGAAGGAUUGACGAGCCAAAUAGAGAAAGAUCUGGUAACAAAUGAGAAUGAGAUCAAGGCUGAGGUAUUGUACAUCCAAAGAUCAGACUUGUUUUGUAUUGCUUGAACUGACCGAUGAGGUCCUCUUUCAACUGCUCCAUUUUAUGUUCGAUCAUGCAAUGUUCACAAGCAGUGACCUUGGUUCUGCAUAAAAGUAUCAAGGUGGCAUGCAAUCGUCAGUAUAAGAGGUUGAGGUUUCCUCUUUCUAAUUACAACGAUUACGCCUUGGUUUGUUUUGCAUAAUGGGGAGGGGUUGUAUACCGGUUGACCCUGAUGCCUGGAAGCAAAGAAAAGGCUAGAAGGUUGGUUCCCAAUCAUAAUUGCAUACCUCGGUUUCCGUGGGAACACUCAUACUUCAUGUUCCUGUACACUGUAAUAUGGCCCUGUUAGUCAGUGGAACAGAGAUCAAAAUGAUGCAUCUGUUUUUGGUAAAUGAUGAUUGUUGAUGUUUUUCUAUAUUAAUAAAAAAAAUGUGUGUUUGUUGAUAUUGCUAUGCUGUGUCCAUUCUGCUUUUUGGGCAUAUGCUUAUUUGUAGGUAUGUUGCUCCCUCCCUCUUUUAAUAUAUUUGUAGUUGUUUUCUAAUUGUUUGUGAAAACAGAUUUAUACUGUACAUGCAUAUGAUGUUUUGCCUUCUAUUUCUAAAUUUACAAUUUAUGAUUCUAAAAUAUCCUAUGCGAUAUUGUUUUUUACUCUUUUGUAUUGGCACACCAAGACUGGUCGCGCGGCCACCUCUUUGAGGUCGAGUUCGCAUGCACACUGCAUACUGUCGGGCCUGGAAAUCUACUCAAUAGGUAUAACUCUGAAUUUUCCCCUUACUAGAGGAAGUGGAGCUUUUAUAGUUCAGAAGAUAUCCUUUCAGUUCAUUUUGCUGCAGUCUGGGGCCCUUUUUGUACCUGAACUGAUUGACUAGCCCUAUCUACAACCUUCAGACAUGCAAUUUCUCCAUGAAGCUCUAAGUUUUCGUCUCUCGCCACGAUCCUUGAGUACUGUGGAGCAGCUUCUUCAUCCAGCCUCUUGUUUUCGUCUUCAGCAGGGUCAGUGAAGUUUGUACUAUGUUUUUAGGCAGUGUAUGGUUGUCGAACUUUCUCCUGUUUGCACUUAGUUUCAUUUAGGCACUCAGUAUUUAGCAAAAGUACCACCAAUGAUGCAUAUUAGCACACUAACAGACCGCAUUUUGAUCAUAUGUUCCUCUUGUUUUUUUCUUGAUGCUAUUUUAUCCAGUAAUAAUUUUAUCCAAAUAUAAGAUGAUAGGGACAUAAACAUAUAGAUGCGAUACAAGUUCGUAUGCUUCAGACUACAAGGCGAAUUGCUACAUAAACAGCAGAGAGAGAGCGUGGGGACGGCCUGCCCCACAUCCCAUGAGGUACCCACCGGCCUGCCCCAGCUCCCCCAAGUGAGGAGUUCCACUGGUUGAUAUGCAUGUAUAAAUUUUAACAGGCUGGGGUCAACAGAAAUUCCAAACUUAAGCUGCGGUCGGAGAUCUAUGAUUCUUCUUCAUCGAAAGAAGAAACACCUUUUCUGUCAUCCAUGUCUACAUACAUGCAUGCCUGCAAAAGGAAACAUAAUCUCUGCAUUGUGUUACAUUCAGGAGCAUGCAUUUUAUCCCAGUUUUGUACUUCUGAAUUUUUUUGAUUUUAAAUCAAAGGAUGUAAUUGCAAAUGUUGAACUCCCAAGUAGAAAAUAGACAUAUUGAACUUAAUUUUAACUGAUGCUUCUCUUCAUUAUUUUGCCUUUCUUUUCCUUUCCUUCACAGGUAGCUGCCCUAUUCAGGGAGCAGGUUUUUUAUCCAUGAAAGUUAUGUCCUUUCCCUGUUAAUUGUACAUCAUUUCUUUUUUAG
RNAcentral lists this long non-coding RNA (76705 nucleotides) under Triticum aestivum (bread wheat). Its description in RNAcentral is "long non-coding RNA (TAES_LNC002630)". The stretch from base 49373 to 49459 matches the Rfam family "MIR1120/MIR1122 microRNA precursor family". Lineage: Eukaryota; Viridiplantae; Streptophyta; Magnoliopsida; Poales; Poaceae. The record is from RNAcentral.